RNAcentral lists this long non-coding RNA (80592 nucleotides) under Vitis vinifera (wine grape). RNAcentral describes it as "long non-coding RNA (VVIN_LNC002459)". The record is from RNAcentral. Lineage: Eukaryota; Viridiplantae; Streptophyta; Magnoliopsida; Vitales; Vitaceae.
UUCCAUCCCAGAUGAUAUUGGUAUUUACAUUUCCUUCACUCUUUUCUUCUCGCUUUCGAAGAAUAACAUCACUGGAGUUAUUCCUGAAUCAAUAUGCAAUGCCAGUUACCUGCAAGUUCUUGACUUCUCUGACAAUGCUUUUAGUGGCAAAAUACCCUCAUGUUUAAUUCAGAAUGAGGCUCUUGCAGUGUUGAAUCUGGGGAGGAACAAGUUUAAUGGCACUAUACCAGGGGAAUUCAGGCACAAGUGUCUUUUACAGACACUAGAUCUCAAUGAGAAUCUUUUAGAAGGAAACAUCACAGAAUCUCUAGCCAAUUGCAAAGAGUUAGAGAUUUUAAACCUUGGGAACAACCAAAUUGAUGAUAUCUUUCCUUGCUGGUUGAAGAACAUAACCAAUUUGCGUGUCCUUGUUCUGCGAGGCAACAAAUUCCAUGGGCCCAUUGGGUGUCUCAGGAGCAAUUCCACCUGGGCAAUGCUUCAGAUAGUUGACCUAGCAGACAACAACUUUAGUGGUAAGUUGCCAGAAAAAUGCUUCUCGACCUGGACAGCAAUGAUGGCGGGUGAAAAUGAAGUCCAAUCCAAGCUCAAACACCUGCAAUUUAGGGUUCUACAAUUCAGUCAAUUGUACUAUCAGGAUGCUGUAACAGUUACCAGCAAAGGUCUAGAAAUGGAGUUGGUGAAGGUCCUAACUCUCUACACCUCUAUUGACUUGUCGUGCAACAAUUUUCAAGGGGACAUACCAGAAGUGAUGGGGAACUUCACAUCGCUCUAUGGUCUCAACUUAUCGCAUAAUGGUUUCACAGGCCAUAUCCCAUCGUCAAUAGGGAAUCUGCGACAACUUGAGUCAUUAGACCUCUCGCAAAACAGGCUGAGUGGAGAGAUACCUACACAGCUUGCGAACCUAAAUUUCCUUUCAGUCCUGAACCUCUCAUUCAAUCAAUUGGUGGGAAGGAUCCCACCAGGUAAUCAAAUGCAAACAUUUUCAGAAGCUUCUUAUGAAGGGAAUAAAGAACUGUGUGGGUGGCCUCUGGAUCUAAGUUGCACUGAUCCACCACCAUCUCAAGGCAAGGAAGAAUUUGAUGACAGGCACUCAGGUUCCAGGAUGGAGAUUAAGUGGGAAUACAUAGCUCCUGAAAUUGGGUUUGUGACAGGAUUGGGAAUCGUGAUUUGGCCUCUAGUGUUGUGCAGGAGAUGGAGGAAAUGCUACUACAAACAUGUUGAUAGAAUUCAUUCAAGGAUUCUCCAAGGAAGAGCAAGUGGUGGAAGAAGAGCUCACAGAAUUCGGAGGCGGAGAAUGUAGCCGUGGUGCAGAGGGAUGAAGUGAUUAGUCAAGAGUCCAUUUCCAUUAAUCCAAUCCUAUGUUUCAUUGAAGGAAUAUUAAAAAGGGGUCAUAUUAUUGGAUGGACCUUCAGUCCGUGUGUCAAAUGUGAUUCUGGCUUGCUUCUUAUAAAUUUAAUCGAAUGCAUAAUUUUAUAUUUGGACAAUGUCAUGGUGAAGUAGAUUUUCAAAGUAACAUUAUUCUUACUUUUUAGUGAUGCGAGUAUCAAUGUGCUUCUCUAAAAUAUUAUACUAAUAAAGAAUUUAAGUUGUAAAACCACUUCAUGAAAGCUUUUCUACAAAAGCAUCAAAUCUUAAAUUUGGCCAAAAAACUUUUUAACCUUCAAAUCUCUUUGGUUUUAGUCAAUAAAAGCCAUUUUGACCAAUGUAAGGAUUUUUAAAUAUUAAAAAAUUUAGCCAAGAAAAAAAUAUAACGUGUUAAAUUUAAGAAAUUUGGAAACUCUUCUUCUUCAGGGAAGGCAUUCAAGCUGAGCAGGAGAUGGUCUAGGAUAUGUUGGCUGGAUGUGGGCCCGAGUUGGGUCAAACUUGAUUGGCUGGAUUUCGGUCAUUAAUAAAAUAUGGGCCUGAUUGGGACAAACGAAGAGCAGCCGAGGUAGCUAGGACCAUAUUCAGCCCAAUCAACACAUCUCAAGCCAUAAGGGAUACAACAUUGAUAAGCAAGUAAUUAUCAUACUAGGUAGUAAGGUGGCUGCCCAUCUACUUAUAAAAGUUUCAUCCUCUUACAGGCUUUCACAUUAAAUUUGGAAAUGGUUCUCACUUUAUUUUAUUUUUUACCACAUUUUUUUAUUAUCUUGUUAAUUUAUAGGAACAAAAAAUCUUUAUCAUUUUUUUUAUAGUCCAUUGUUCCAAUGAAAUUAUUAAACAAUGAUAAGAGUGAGAUUUUCAAAAGUAGAAGAUGAAUCAAUAUAACUUGCAAAUUCUUAGAUUUUAAUGGAAUUUGAAAAUUACUAAUAUUAUUAUGCAAGUGAAAUAACAACAUGAACUUGAAAAAUUAAACCCAAAACCAUCUCUAAAAUUAUCAAUAUCCAGGCCCAACUUCACAUUCAACUUGAAUAUCUCUAAACAAGUUUAGUCCUUUCUGUUUUUCAAUUUUCUUUCACUUUUUUUUUUUUCUAGAAUUAGACACUUUUUGGAUACCAUGAAAAAGAUUGCUAGCUAGGAAUGUAAAGCAUGGUUUUUUAGCUAGAAUGAUAAGUUAAGUGCUCAUAUAUAUUUUGAAUCAAAUUUAAGAGAAAGUUCCUUACGACCCUUAGUGAAUUGAUUUUCACUUAACUACCCAUAUUUCUAAUAUGAUACAAGGAUUCCAUAUAAUCCAAAUAAGAACUUUAUUUUUAUGUGAAAUCUAAUCAAAGCUCUAGUUGAAGCCAUCUAAAUUUAUUAUUUGAUAUUUAAGCUCUAAUUGAAUCCAUUAGAAUUAUUAUUUGAAUUUUAUACAUAUUAGACAUCAUUUAGACUUGUUUUAGACAAUUCAUAUAUCUUGUUUUCCAGGAAAUUUGAUUUCUUCGUCCAAACUUGAUGUAUUGGAACAUACUUUCAAAUUUAAUUAGGAACAAAUGUCUCAAUUUUUCUCAAAUAAUCAUCUUUUUCAUUCUAAUAUCUUACAUGAUGAUUUGUAGAAGUUGAAACUCGAUAACCUUUUUACUAAGAUCCUUGUUACCUUGCACUAUAAUGUUUAGUAGAUAAGCUUUUAGUUUUCUAGUGACACAAAUGUUAGAGAUUAGUAGAGAAUGGAAAUCUUCCAAACCUAGAUUUUACUGAUACUCAACGUGUAUGUGGACUGCAUUUGAGUAAAACCAACCAAACACACUAAGAAAUAAGCUACUUGGAAAAAAAUAAUAAAAAUUAUAUUAGAAAAAAAUCCAUAUGCUCCUGCAAUAGAGUUGACAACAAUUUACAAAGACAAAUAAAACAUUCAUAAGAAAAGAAUGUAUACAAUUUAUUCAUAUCUUUAGGCCAUGAGAUUACUAUAUAAUGUUGCAAAAUGGAGUUGACACACCUUAGAAAGGAUCUAAUGUGUUAUUCUUUAAAUCUAAAGGUUCUGAUACCAAUUGUUAGAAAAACACCCACUAUAUAUAGAUUAAAGAGUGCAACUAAGAUUCUAGGCAUAAUGAAAAUGAAAGUUGUUUAAUUUUUCAAAAAAUUAUUCUAGGAUGUUCUUAGAAAACAUACCUUUGGAUUCAAAUGUUCCCAGAUAUUUUUUCCAAUUUGCAAUAGAAAUCUCGAAUGUCUCGUGACAUUUGGAUCUUGUCUAUGGAUAAGUAUAGACUUUUCUCUAGAGGGAGUGAUGGCUACUAGGGUUUUCUUUAAACUAAGUGAAAGACAACAACUAGUCUAAGCUUAAAUGACUAAGAGGAUUUAAAUAGACUCUCAACUAGGCUUAAAUGACUAGGGUCUAUCCCAUAGGUUUGGAUCAAUUAAUUAGCCUAAUGGGUCUUAUUUAAUUAAUUAGCCUAUUGAGAAUGUCUAUUGCCACCUUCCUAAACCACCAAUAGUCCAAUCCAUUAGGAAUAUAUGAUCACUUAGGAUCUUACCAUUUGUCAUGACUUUUGGUAGGUCUUAUUCAAUAUGUAACCAUACAUGCUAGCACAUUUACUAUGUGAAAACCAUCCUGAUACCUAAGACAUGUCAUCCAAAAAUUAGGAGGUAAUGCAUUAUAAUUUCUAUAGAUUGUCAUCUUAGUCCGUGAACCAACCUUAAACAAGCUUAUCCCAGAAUUGCCAAAAGGGGAGAUCGUAAGUGAUUAUCAAGGUUGGCAAUUCUAUGCAAAAAAAAAUUAUCCAACCUUCUAAUUUAGUUUUUCGAAUCCUUCCUUGGGCUACUGGCCUAAUGAAAAUCAAGUGUUGAAUUUUCUUAAAGGUCAAGGUAUAUAGUUGAGAUUGUAGAUGGGUGAAAUUAAAUCAACCAAAAUUUUCAAAUUGCUAUUUAUCUUGAACUAUUUUUUAUUUUUUUUUAAAGUGUUGAAGAGGCAAAGGCAACAAGUUUUUUCAACUAAGUGUUCAUGUGCCCUAUACCAGGAUCAAUCCAAAUUUGGGUAAGAUUGAUCCAAUUUUUGUUUGAUCUUUUCUUAGCCAUUAGAUCAAGGGUUUCUUUCCUUUUAAGACCAAAAUGCCUUCAGUUUGGGAUUAAGGAAAGACUUGUCGUCGUUCUUCUUCCCUCUUGUGCUCUCUCUAUCCUUACCUAAUUAAGGGUAUUUGAAAAAAAAAUACAUGUUCAUUUUGAUUUCCAAACUAUUUUCUAAUGGAUUUUCUUAUAAAUAAAAAAAUGGGUUUCUUUUGUUCCAUUCAUCUCUCAAUUUCCUAUCUAUUUAGGUUUUGAGUAGAAACCUAUUUUCUUAUUGAUUGAGCUUCCAAAAGAGGCUGAGAUCAAUCUUGGUCAGGACUCCAAGUAUGUUUCGGAAGAUGGAAGCAUAUGGCUGAAGUAAGAAGGUGUUGGUCAAGUUGUUUGUUAAGGAUUAGUAGACUUGAGCUAAGUAAAUUCUUAUACACAUUAAUUAUUCUUCAUAGUAGAUUUCUUUAUCAUUGACCGGCCCAUGGUUUUUUUCAUCUCUUAAGAGAUUUUCCACAAAAUCUAAUGUCAUUGUCUCUCUUUUUCUCAUUCUACUCUUUGAUUUAUUUCUAGUUAUCGAUAUCAUCUGUUACUUGAGCAUGUAUGUUGAAAUGAUGAAAUAUGAGUUGAAAUUGGUGUGAUUAUCUUUUGGAUAUAUUUUGAAUAAUUUUUUGUUCAAUUUGAUAAAGAUAUCAAGAAGUAAUUGAAAAUAUAUUAAGGAGGAUUUUUUCUUAUAAAUUUGUGUUAAGGAGUGUUAAAGCAUUUACAUAUGACUUGCAUUUAUAAAUUGUUAGAAGUAUAUUGAUGUAUCCAUGCUUGCUUGUGAUUUUUAUUUAUUAUUGAAAAGUAUUUGAAGAGAGGAAUAUAGGUUGUGAGAAAUUUUAACGAAAGAUAAUAUAUGUUGGGAAACCGUUUUUGAAUUUUUAAAAAAAAUACUUAUUCCCUUCUCCUCCUAUAGGUGUAGUUCAUCAUUGAGAUUCACUCUCAAAUUCUUUUAAGGAUUCCCCGCAACUAAGACCAAGGAAGAGCAAAUCAUGGAAGCAGGGCUUCCAGGACUUAGAGGCCAAGAAUCUAGCCACCACUAGUGAGAAGGAUCUAGUUUGAGUGUAUUGUAUUUCUAUUAGAUAGAAAAUAUGCUUUCUACCAAUUUGUAAAAAAGCUUUAAACGUACCUAAAAUAAAAUUCUAAUUUGGGAGAUCCAUGAAGUCAUUCAAGUUAAGAGGUUAAGAUAUGUUGGCUAGAUCUGGGCAAGAGUUGGGUUACACGUGAUUGGCCCAAUUGGUACAAAGCAAGACCAACUAAGGUAGUAGGCCCAUGUUCAGCCCAAUCAACACAUUUGAAGCCAUUAGUAGUUUAGUAAAGAUGUAAGAAAGAAAAAACUUCAUCAUUUUUCUCUUAAUCCAUUCUUCCAAUCAUCAUUUUAUCACUUCCAAGAAAGAUUAAACAAUGAGACAAGUACGAGAUUUUUCAAAGUAAAUCUUGAAUCAAUAUAAUUUCUUAAUUCUUAGUUCUUAAUGAAAUUUGAAAAUAAUGAAUAUCUUUAUACAAGUGAAAUAACAGUAUGAACUUGAAAAAUAAAACACAAAACCAUAUUCUCAAAUUAUCAAAGUCCAUGCCCAACUUGACAUUCAAAUCAAGUAUCUUUAAACAAGUUGGAGCAGGGAUUUCGUGUCAUUCCCUCCCCCUCGAAGAGUCCUUGUCCUCAAGGACGGAACUCCGGGUAUGCUUCGCUAGUCCAAUCUCCACAAGCCAAUCCCCAAACUCCUUAUUGAUCUUCCUCUCGAUAUACGAUCGAAUCUCCGGGAUCUGCUUCUCUAGCAUUUUCCGCAGCGUCGACGACGGAGUUUUGUCAAUGAANNNNNNNNNNNNNNNNNNNNNNNNNNNNNNNNNNNNNNNNNNNNNNNNNNNNNNNNNNNNNNNNNNNNNNNNNNNNNNNNNNNNNNNNNNNNNNNNNNNNGGAGAACGCAUGGCGAUUCUCCAAAGCAUACCCGGUAGUUUCGUCCUUAAGGACAAGGACUUUUCGAGGGGGAGGGAAUGAUACGAAAUCCCUGCUCCAACUCCUAUUUGCUUGCAGAUCACAGUUACGUGGGCAACACCUCAACACCUAGCUUGAAUUUUGAUUUGUUGCUACCUCCCUAGACUUAGGCCACUAUUUGUGUUUCAGUUGAUGUUUCAAUUGUCUGUGCAUCUAUAAAUGCACCUGCAUGAAGUUAAUAAAGCAUGGCAGAAUUCAAAACUUCUAUCUCCUAUCUCUCCUGUCAUCUCUUAAAUUAAACUCAUCAACUAGUUGUAAUCACCAACACCAGAAUGAGAAGUAAUCAUUGCAACAAGUUGAUUGUUUACAGAAGGUUGAAAAGAAUGAUCAAAACGAUAAUAGCAAUUGACCAUAUUUGUCACAAAUUUGGCAUUGUGGCCUACCACCAUUUCUAGAAAAAUUAGGUCCUGAGAAAUUAGCAAAAUUGUUUCCAAAAUUACCUUGAUUAUUACCUCUACCUGAAUUUCCCUUGGAAUAGAAACCACGUCCGCAACGACCAAACUGUUUCUGAUUGAAUUGCGAUAGACUCUGGUUAAGGUUUCUUCUUUGAAACUUGCAUUGACUAGUCCUUUGAUUUUUUAUUUUUUUUAUAGUUGUUUCCUUGCGAUUGUAGAAAGGCUACGCUUGCUUGAAGAAGAUUGGUUUCAUCAGUGGCAUUCUGUUGCUCUAAGCGAUGCUUGUAACUAAGCAACAUAUUAUGUGUCUCUUCUAAAUGCAGAGGUUCAUGCUUAGAUGUUAUAGAGACCACAAAGGAGUUGUAAUCAGCUGCUAAACCGCCAAGCAAAAAAAGAACGUGGUCUUGUUCAAAAAUUGAUUCUCUGAUUGCAAUAAGAUUAUAUGCAAUAGAUUUCACCUUGUGAAGAUAUUCCAUCAUAUUCAAACCAUGUUUCUUCAUAGUCUGAAGUUAAAGACGAAGUUGCAUAAUUCUAGCCUUUGAUGCAGCAAAGAAGAAUUUCUCGAGAGCACUCCAGAUUUCAGAAGUGGAAGUGAGACCGAUGAUUUGAGACAUUACAUUCUCGAAGAGAGAUGAAUAAAUCCAGCACAUGACUAGAAGAUUUUGUCGUUGCCAAAUCUGAAAAUCUGGGUUCGUACUUUUAGAGUUCUCAAGAAAUUUUGGAAGACAAGGUCGUGAGCCAUCGAUCAUCUCCUCAACUCCAUUAGCGAUUACAAUAUUCAGCAUCUGAGUACGCCAUAGAAGAUAAUUUGAGCGAUCAAGCCUGAUGGUGAAUGCUUGAUUCAGAGAUUGCAUUAUCGAAGUUGUAUUUGGGCUUGAACUAGUACCAUUUUGGUGAGAACAACAAGUAUAGAGGAAGAGAAAUCUUCAAACAUCAUGGAAAGAGAGCUUCAAGGAUCACAAGCUCUAAUACCAAGAUAAAAUAUAAAGAUCUGCCUCUUAUUUGAGAGAGUGUUACAAAGAGAUAUCUUGAAGAAGAAAGUUUCCUCUGUUUUUUAUUCUUAGUCAAAUACCCAGUACUCACAGUGAAUGUUGAAAUUGGUAUGUUUCUUUUUGCUUAAAACUUUGGAUCCUAGCCAUCCAAAAAAAAAAAAAGGCUUAACCAAUAAUUGAUAAGUGUCUGCUGAAUGUAUGAUCCAAAAAUUAGGUAAUUUAAUAUUUUAAAAAGUUAUUUGGAAAUAUAUUUAUAUUGGGAGUAAUAUUACAACAAUUUCAAUGUAUAUUACAAUUCAACGACUUCAAUAUUAUAUUUUUAAAAUAAAAUUUUCAUUAGGAAUAAAUAAUUUAUAAAACUAUGUAAAUAGAAAAUAGACAUAAAAAAAAUCGAGGGCAGUUGUAAUUAUUCAAAUAUAAUGAGGAUGAAAAUAGUAUAGGCAAUAUAAUUUGAGACCGGAAAACAAAACACAAAUAUAUAUAUAUAUGUAUAUAGAUAAAGAGGGAAUAACAAUAAUCAUGUAAUUCAUUUUUAUACGGAGUUUUAAGUCACUAUUAAUAUUAUUUUUGAAAAUAAAUUUUAAAAUUAGAAAGAAUUUAAAAUGUAAAGAGGGUAUGAAAAUUGUGAACAAUGUACUAAAAAUGUGAAGCAUGUAAACAUGGUACAAAAAAUGUAAGGAUCCUUAUAUUCUCCUCAUGUUUUUCAUAUCCUUCAAAUUUUACAUUUUGUUUAAUUUUAAAAUAUAUUUUUGAAUUGAAAUUACUAUAAAAUAUAUUAAUAAUGUUAUUUUGAGUUACUAUUAAUAGCAUUUUUGAAAAUAAAUUUUAAAAUUUUUAAAAUUUAAAAGGGUAAAAACAUGUGAGGAAGGUAAAAAAAAAAUAUAAUGAAGGUAUGAAAAAUAUGAAGAGUGUAUGAAAAAUAUGAUAGUACAAAAUAUAUGAGCAUGGUACAAAAAAUAUGAGGAUGCUCACAUUCCUAGUAACUUCUUCAUAUUUUUCCUAACCUCCAAAUUUUAAAUUUUUUAAUUUUAAAAUUUAUUUUUCAAAUUAAAAUUUCUAAUAAUAUUAUUCUGAUUUACUAUUGAUAGCAUCUUUGAAAAGAAAUUCUAAAAUUAAAAAAAAAAUUAAAGAGGGUGCAAAUCUUGUUAGGAAUGUAUGAAAAUAUGAGGAUGCAAAAAAUGUAAAAAGGGUAAAAAGAAUGUAAUUUAUUUUUUGAAUUAAAAUUAUAUUUAAAAUAAAAUAAUAAUAGAAUUUCCGGUUACUAUUAAUAGUAUUUUCGAAAAUAAAUUUUAAAAUUAAAAAUUUAAAGAAAACACAAAAAUUGUGAGAAAAGUAUAAAGAAUGUGAGGAUGAUAUGAAAAUGUAAAGAUCCUCAUAUUUUUCAUACCCUCUUCACAUUCUUGGUACAAUCCUCAUAUUUUUUAUUCUCUUAUCACAUUCUUUGUACCCUUCUCAUUUUCUUCAUACCCAUUUUUUAUACUCUUCUCACAUACUUUGUACUUUCAUCAUAUUUUUCAUACCCUUCUCACAUUUUUGUUAUAACCUCCAAAUUUUAUAUCUUUUUAAAUUAUAAGAUUCUUUUAAAAAAAGACUAUCACUAUUUCAUCUCAUCCUCUCCAUAUAAAAUUUAAAAUUACAAUAAAAGAAAUUAAUAAUACUAUUUUGAGUUAACAAUAAAUAAAUUUAAUUUUCUAAUUUUAAUAAUAACUACUUUAACUAAUAUAUUUAUGAAUGAUUUUUUUCACAUGAUCUUAAAGUUAUAACUUUAUAUCAUAAAAUAAAUAACAAUUAUUCUUUUAUGAAAUUUUUAUUAUUGCUUAAUAGAAGUAGAUUUGGAUAAUCAUUAAAUUUUUUUGUAUCCUUAUAUCCAUCAAGCCCAUUCCACACCCAAUACUUUUAAAAUUAAAACUAAUUAUAAGCCCAUAUUUGAUCCAAAACACUAAGCCCAAUUCAAUGACAAGAAAUGCUUGUAAAACUUAUAUUUGGGUCAUGCCUCCAAGCCCAAUUUGCUGGCAAGUUUGACUUACCAAGGAUGUUACAAGGUAUUUAUAGAGUACUUAAAGUACAUAGAAUUCAUGUGAUUCCAAUAUGGGAUUGAGACUACGUUGCUUCUUGGAGAGCUCUUAAAUAUUUAAGUUUAAAGUCUUUGAACCAUUGAGCAUUGUACCAUAUUUAUUAAAUGAUGUUGUUAAAAAAAAUUAUAUAUAAUAAGAAUCUAAUAUUAAUGUUUUUAUUUCAAAUUUUUUAUCAUAGAAAAUCUUUAAAGAAAUGUAAAUAUUUAAAUUCCUAUUUAUUUUUACAAUAAUAAUAUGAUAAUAAUUAUAAAAAAUAAUUUAAAUUAAUUAAUAUAAUAAUUUUAAAACAAUAAAAUACAAAGACAAAAAAAUAAAAUUAAAUAUUAUUAAUUUUUUCAUCUUAAAUAUAUCUUUAUUCUUAAAUAUUAAUUAUAUAUUUCUAUUUAAUAAAAUUUAAAAUAUUAAACUUUAUGAUUUAAUUUAAUAUAGCAAAUAUAAAAAUUAAACAUUAUUAAAAUUUGUAAUUUUAUAUAAUAUAUAAAUUAUAUAUUUAUUGCAUCACCGAUUCAAUUGCAGUUCAACCGUAGAUUCAACCAAUGAACCAUAAACCGGUAAUUUUUUCGAUUAAAUGACCAGUCCCAUUAUGAAAAUAUUGUAUAAUAUUCCAUCCAUUUAAAACAUAUGUUAAUGGCCUGGUGACUCUGGAAUGAGUUUUUUCUUAAUUUUUUAUUUUGAUUCACUCUAAAUGUAUCUCAUUCCAUUGGUUCAAAAAUGUGAGUGUGGUACUAAAAAGUACCCUACAAACUAGUUCAGACCAUUUGCAAAUAACAUUUCAAAUUUAGAUUUGUAGAAAGUUACCCAUAACUUUUCUUAUCCAAUCAUCGAGUAGUAAUUUUCAAGAUUAAUCCAAUUGAUUGUUAGAAUUCAAGUUCCCUUACCAAGUUCAAUCCAAAUCUAUUUUCUAAAAAAGUUUCCAUUUAGUAAAAAUAUAUGUUUGAGUUGCCCAGGUUAGUCGGAUUUGCAACUAUUGUUUAAACCUAACAUCAAUCUUUUACCAAUACAUUGAAAUUUAUUUAAAAAUAAAAAAACUAUUUAUAAUCUAUUUAACUAGAAGUUUAAAUGAAUCGAAAACAAAUACAAAUGAUUUGAGAGUGAGGGGGCAGUUUGUAAGAGGACCCUUUUGGUCUCAUCCAAAGUAAUGAAUUCCAUAUUGGUAGGCCUUCUGCUUCCCUCGUUUUCUUCCCAACUACCAGCCCCUCCUCACCAAACAUUAUCACUGCAUUUGUCGAUGUCCAACUUGGGUGUGGAGACUUGCAAGGAAAUUAAUUACUACAUAAAAUGUGGUGAAGUUUCGUAGAAUAAUUGUAACAAUAGCUUAGCUUGAUAGGGUUUAUUGGAGAGGACACAUAGCAAUGACUUGGGAAAUUUUAGAAAAUGAUGGGAUUAUAAUGAUGCCCAAUCGAGGAAGUAAAAAUACUUGGUAUUAAAAGCUAAAAGGAUAGAUGAAAUGUUUAUUAGAAGACUUUGAGGUCUUCUUGCUCAAGUCAAUAAGCUAAGUCUUCUUUAAGACUUGAGCAAGAGUACUACAUGUUCUCUUUUCCACAACCACUCCUGUCACUGUCACAACUAAAUUUCAUGACGCUUCCUACCGAAGUAUCGAAGUCGAGGUGCACCAAGACUUCAGUUUCAGUGUGAAUACCUUUCCCCACGAAGAGAUGUAAUGAAGCAACUUUAUAAAUCAUUGUGAAGUUUCUACGUAAUUAUAACUAUAUUUAUAGUUAUUACGAUUAAAAUUAAUAGAUGGAAACAAAAAAGUUCGGCAUAUUGUUUGGAAUAGAGAAAAGUCUUGGCAAUGAAGGCCACCUUUUCCGUGGUCCUGGAAAUGUUGUGUUAAUUCAUGAUCGGUUCCUAAAGGAAAAUUCUGACAAAAUCGUUAGAGAAAAAAGUGUAAGAAAAUGAUGAAUUGUGAUGUGACUUGAAAUGGAGUAGAUAGGAGGAAACAAGGAAGGAAAAAUCGAAGAAGUAAAUAUCAUUAAGUAAUGAAAUCACCGAAUUGGUUGGUAUGAAUAAGAUAAACAGGAAAAAUCUGUACUAUAUAUAUUUAGAAUGCUGUGGUGUUUAUGUAUAACUAGAACCCCCUUUUUUUUCCUCUUCUAAAUCAUAUUGAACAUGAUUUGUUGUAGCAGUAUCUCCCUGCUGCUUCCAUUGAGAAUUCAGCUGUUUUCAUGGCUUUAUUUCUUGCCUUUAUAUUCAAUCUUUUUCGGUAUCCAUGUUGCUUUCGUGUCCGGCGAAUGUCUCAUAUGCCGGGAGGAUCAGAUGUCUUUGUUGCUGCAACUGAAGAACACCCUCAAAUUCAAUGCUGCUGCAUCAAGUAAUCUAGUUUCCUGGAAUCCGAGCACAGAUUGCUGUUCUUGGAGAGGUUUAACCUGGGAUGCCACUGGUCAUGUUGUCGCUCUUGAUCUCAGUAGCCAAUCAAUUUCUGGUGGAUUCAGUAGCUCCAGUAGCAUUUUCAGUCUACAACAUCUCCAGAGCUUGAAUUUGGCUAACAACACCUUCUACUCCUCUCAGAUUCCAUCAGGAUUCCACAAGCUUGUUAACUUGACUUACCUGAAUUUGUCGAAUUCCGGCUUUUCUGGGCAGAUUCCAAUCGAGAUUUCACUGUUGACAAGGUUAGUAACAAUUGAUUUCUCUACCCUUUAUUACAUCCCUGGAGCUCCUACAUUGAAACUUGAGAACCCAAAUCUGACAACGCUGGUUCAGAACCUCAAUGAGCUCAGAGAACUCCAUCUUAAUGGUGUAAACAUAUCGGCCGAGGGGAAGGAUUGGUGCCAGGCAUUAUCAUCUUCAGUGUCUAAACUGCAAGUGCUGAGCUUGUCCAACAGUUUUCUUUCUGGUCCUAUUGAUUCUUCUCUGAAGAAGCUUCAAUCCCUCACGAGGAUUCAUCUGGAUAACAACAAUUUUUCUGCUCCAGUUCCACAUCUCUUUGCAAAUUUCUCAAAUUUGAUUCACUUGCAGCUCAGUUCUUGUGGAUUAUAUGGAACAUUUCCAGAAAAGAUCUUUCAGUUACGGACCCUCAAAAUUCUUGAUUUGUCAAAUAACAAGGUACUUGAGGGUUCUUUGCCAGAAUUCCCUCUGAAUGGAUCUCUAGAAACCUUGGUGCUCAGUGAUACAGAAUUUUCAGGGGAAGUACCCAACUCCAUAGGCAAUCUCAAGAGGUUGACUGGAAUAGAGCUUGCGCGGUGCAAUUUCAGUGGUUCAAUCCCAAAGGCGAUGACAGACCUUACUCAAUUGGUUAACUUGGACUUCUCUCAUAAUAACUUCUCUGGUCCAAUCCCAUCUUUCAGUUUCUCCAGGAAUCUCACCCAAAUAAACGUUUCUCAUAAUUAUUUAGCAGGUCAGAUUCCUUCCUCUCACUGGGAUGGUCUUGUGAGUCUAGUGACUCUUGACUUAUCUGGUAAUGGUUUCACAGGGCAAAUCCCAUCAUCACUAGGACAGCUCCGACAGCUUGAGUCAUUAGACCUCUCACUGAACAAGCUGAGCGGGGAGAUCCCUACACAGCUCACUACCCUUAGUUCCCUUUCAUUCCUGAACCUCUCAUUCAAUCAAUUAGUGGGAAGCAUCCCAAAAGGUGGUAAAUUUCUAAGGUUUUCAGAAAAUUCUUUCGUGGGUAACAGAGGAUUAUGCGGCUCCCCCCUAAAUGCAAGUUGCGAAGAUGCUACACCACCGACGUCUGAGGAGAUUCAGUGGAAAUAUAUAGCUCCUGAACUUGGAUUUGUGACAGGGUUGGGAAUUGUGUAUUGGCCUCUAUUGUUGUGCAAGAGAUGGAGGAAAUGUUACUACAAACAUGUUGAUGGAAUUCUUUCAAGGAUUCUCCAUAACCAAGACCAAGGAAGACAAAGUUGUGGAAGAAGAGCUCACAGAAUUCGGCGGCGGAGAAUGUAGCAGUGGCGCAGAGGGAUGUAGCUACUCAUCAAGAGUCUUAUCUGUUAUCCAUUUUGAUCUCCAUUAUCACCAACAAUAGAAACUGAACAUAUAUAUAUAUAUAUAUAUAUAUAUAUAUAUAUAUAUAUAUAUAUAUAUCAAUCCUGAAAACAUGUCAUGAUCUCCAGAUAGGGAAUCAACGAACCUGAGUCCGUUUUGCUUUUCGUUUUGAACAAGGUGUGGAUCUUCUAAGGUUGUGGAGGGUACCACCUCUUACUGAAUUCUCUCUGACGAUGGGAGCGGGAGAGAAACGAGUCUAUUCUUAUUUCAAAAUGAUGUGAUGAAUUUGAACAGACACUUAAUCUUUGGAUUUAUACCCUUUGCCUUAGGGACCAUACCCUUUGACUAUUGGGUCUCACGAGUCUUAGGCCCAUCAUGUGAUGGCAAUGGGCUUUACACAUAAGGUGGUUCAUACUAUGGAAAACCGAUACAAAGUAAAUAUCAAAAGGCGAAUAGCUUAGUCAUGUACCAUUGUUAAACAUGUGUGAGUCCAUAUCUUAACAUUAUCUACAUCAAUGCAAUCCUCUGUUUGAUGAAAGAAACAUUAAAAAGGGGUCCCUUAUUGAAUGGGCCUUCAUUUAGUGUGUUAAAUGUCAUUAAGUGAAUGCAUAAUUUUAUAUUUAGAAAAUGUCAUGGUGAAGAUUUUUGACAAUCAUAGGAAUUAGAUUUUCAAAGUAACAUUAUUCUUACCUUUUAGUGAUCCAAUAUCAAGGGGAUUCUCUAAAAUAUUAUAUAAAUAAAAAGUUUUUAUUUAACAAAGAAUUUAAUUUUCAAACCACUCCAUGAAAGCUUUGUUAGAAAAUCAAGUAAAUAGAAUCUCAUAAUUUUAGUUUAAUGAACUAAAACAAAUCUACAAAACUCACCUUAUGUCAUUACGAUAAAGAUCACCUUAACGUAAAUAGUUCACAAUGUUAUGUCAUUUUGGUAGCACCUUACCACUUUGUAUCAGUAUUAACACCUUAUAUCUUCCCUCUUUUUUACUUUUUCUCACUUAAUGUACAUACAAAUUAUGGGAAACCUUAGUAACUUAUAAUCAAUGAUGAAAAUAUCGGUAAUUACGGAUAUAUUGGUUCUUCGAUUUUACAGAUAUAUCGGUGGAUAUUUUGGAAAAAAAAUAUCGAUAGACCAAAAAUUGAUUAAAAUUCAUGGAAAUGUAAAAAAAAAAAAAAAAAAAAAAACUCUUAUUAAAAUAUAAUUAAAAAUGUAAUAGAAAUUUUAAAGUUGUUUUAUUAAAAAAUUUGAUAUAUGUAUAAUAUGAUUUAUCAUAUUUGAUAAUAAUAUCAUAUGCGUUGAUAAAAAAUAUGAAUUUUGUAAGUGUAUUUUUAUUAUUAAAUUAUAUCAAAUAUUAUUUCAUAAUAAUAUUGUAAUAUUUGAUUAUAAUAUAACUAAUUUAAAAAUAUAUUUAAUAUUAAAAUUAUGAUUCAUUUCAUUCAAUUGUAUUAAAUGAUAUAAAAUAAAUUGUCAUAUAUGUAUAAUUUUUUAAUAUUUAAUUAAUCUAUUAAUGAUAUUCAAAACACUAUGAAAAAAAUUAUCAUGAUAAUUUUUAUAUUUUUGGUAAUCAAUUAAAUGAAAAUUUUUUAUUUAAUUAUAAAAUAAUUAUAAUUAAUUUGUUCUCUAAAAAUAUUCUUUUAGGCUAUGUUUGGUUCUCGGAAAAUACUAAGGAAAGAAAAAAAAAAUACAAAGGAAAAUGAUUUUUUCAUGUUUGGUUGUCCUAUGAAAAAUAUCAAAGAAAAUCAAAUAUAAUUAAAACUAAUUAAAAACUUAUACAUUUUUAAAUUAUUUAAUUUUUAUAUUGAUGAGUUAAAAUAAAUAAAAUGAGUUUAAAGUAACAAAAAAAAAAUUGUCGACUUUUAAUCUAUUUUUUAUUUUCCUUCAUUUUUUUUUCCUUUCACUUUUCCUUUAUAUUUUUUUUCCCUUACAUUUUCCCUCAAAUUUUCUGGGAACCAAACAUAGCUUUAAUAUUUUGUUUAUAUGAUAGUUUUGAAUAUAAAUAUGUUAAGUGCAAUAUAAUAAACAAGGAGGAUACUUACUCCAAUGGUAAACAACAAAAUUAAAAGGCAAUUUUAAGCUUAAUUGAAGCACACUAUAAUGCUUUCACUGUGUCACACUAAAGCGGUAUUGACCCGUGUUGACCACCCAAAAAAUCAAUGAAGUAUCACCGUAUCGACGAUUUUUCCCAAAAUUUCACCUAGGUGAUAUUUCUUCUAUGCUUACAAUGAGUGGACGGAGGGAAGGACCAAGAGUCCUUUUAUAUCAUAUAAAUGACCUUCCUUUAAAAGUCAUAAUGAACAUUUUCUACUAGAUUAUAUGAGUCAACCUUUUCCAAUUUCAUGUAGUAUUCAUAGUAUAUGAAAACUUCAAUGUAGGUACAUGACUUUGGUCAUUGUAUUUUAUACACAAUUUGAUAGGUAUGACUUUGGUCAUGAUACCUUAUAUUUUUCCAUAUACCUUAUACAUUUAAUCUUCGAGCAUAUAUGAGAUGUAUAAUAUGAUAAAUGUAAAUACAUGAAGGACACAAUAUUCCAACCAGCUUUACUAUAAAAGUAUCAAAUCUUAAAUUUAAUCGACAUUAACGUAAUAUGACUACUCCUUGACUAAUGCUAAUGAAUCUUGAACAUUGACUAAUGAUUUAUUGUUAAAAAAUAGAAGAAAAUGACUGAAACUAUCCUCUAAAGUUAGUCAUAAUCUUUAAUGCAUAUUCGUUAAUAGAUUUGAUGAAUGUGUAAAGAAGUUUUUUAAUUCAAAACUAUAAUAUCUAACAAUUACACUUUAGUCUCUCAUGAUUCUAAAAUUACACCGACAUCUUUGACAAUAUUCAAAACUAUCCUCACUCAUAUUCCUCAACCCUUUGAUUUGAUGAAAGCCCUAGUUGCUUUUUUACUAACAUCAACCAAUGUUGAAAAUUGACCAUUAAUUACCCAAUAAUUAUUGUUAAAAAAUGAAAGAAAAUGAAAAAAAAAACCCUCUAAACUUGUUUUCCAAUUUUUAGAAUGUGUUUGAUAAUGAUUUUAAAAAGUGUUUUUAACUUUUUUUAACAUUUGAAAAUUUUUAUCUUUCAAAUAUUAAAAAUGUUAUAAACAUUUCAUAAAAUUACUGUCAAACGUAGUCUUAGUUCAAUAGACCUCAUUAUCUAAUUAAUCUAACCAAAAUUUUAAAAUAAAAGACUUAAUUAAUUUAAAUUAAACACUCCUAAAAUGCCCUUAAUCCUAAUUAAUUUUUUUAUACAUAAUUAAUUCUAAUUAAUUUUUAAUAAAUAUAUUAAUCAUAAUUAACUUCAGACUAUCAUCAAUUAGAAUAAUUAAAAAAAAUUUAAAUACUAAAAAGUCAAGAUAUUAAAUAAAAAUUACUUCCUAAUUAGUCUUGAAUAUUUUUUAUUCAAUAGAUUAAAUUUUGUUAACCUCAAUUUUUAUUAAUUAAAAUCACUAAAUUUUACUGUUCAGUAUCAUUUUUUUCCUUUUCCUUUUAGUUUUUCUUAAUAUUUUGUGUGCUAAAUGGGGAAAAAAAAAUGUCUAAACUUUCAAGACUUUUUAAAUCUGAAAUUAUUUUUUCUUUAAAAAAAAAAAAAUCUUUAUCAUCUUCCUAGACAAAAACCUAAUUUUUCAAAUUAAAUCCUAAAUAAAAAGAAAAAAGGGAAAAAAAAAGUUUGAAGCCUUGAAUUUGAAAUCCUAAAAUUUCUUUUUAAGGCUUUGUGCACUUCCAAAAAUACCAUAUCUUACCUUAUCUUAUUUCAUCAUUUCAUAUCAUUAAUUGUAAUUAAAUUUCUUUAAAUUUUUAUAUAUAAAAUCUAUUUAAUUUUAAUUAAAAAUGUAUAAUUAAAAUUUUUAUUAAAUAUUUAAUAUUAAUUAAUCUUAUAUUAUCAUUAAUUAAAAUUACUAAUAUUAAAAAUAAUAUGUUUUACAUAGACUAAUAUUAAAUAGUAUCCUUUCUAAAUUUAUUAAUACACUUUCAAAUUAAUUAAAAUACUAAUUAAUACACUAUUAAACCAAAAAUUUCCAAGUCAAAAUCUAAAUAUUAACUCUUGUGUACUUUUCAAAUCAAACCUUAAAUGAAGAAAAAGAUCUAAAACCCUAAAUCUAAUUUCUUUUUCAUUACAUUAACCUAUGGAGUUCAUAUCCGAAGACACCAAACACAUACUUAUUAGGAAGAUUUGAAGAGAAAGCAAGGUACAUCUAUCAUCAUGAAUACCCUUGGUGGUUUUGUUGUCAACAAAGAAAAGAUUUUUGACUCCAUUGACUCCUCAAUAAGAAGAUGCCUUCAAAUUGACUCAUAUGAUUGAAGGGAAUAUAGAUAUGAUUCUACAAAUGGUGUUUGAGAAGUAGGAAGAUUUGAACAAAAAGCAAGGUACAUAUAUCAUCAUGAAAUCCUUUAUAGUCUUGUUGUCGAUGAAGGAAAGAUUUUUGACUCAAUUGACACCUCAAUUAGAAGGUGACUUCAAAUUGUAUCGUAUCAUUGAAGAGAAUUUAAAUUUGGUUCUACAAAUGGUUAUUGAGAAGGAACUUGAAGAGAAAUGGAGGACUAAGGUUAUGUAAUUAUGGUUAGAGAUUGAUCCAAUGACUUCAUCAAAUCAAGAUUGAGGGAGAGAGGGGGCUCAAAUUCUUGAAAAGAUGGGGUUUUAGGAGUAAGUUUCUUUCUGCAUUGCAAAUUAAAACUUCAAAACAAGAAAAAAAAAAAAAAAAAAAAAGGAAAAAAGAUAAAUAGUGAAAAAAGAAAUUAAAAAAAAAAUCAACUUCAAAAGAAAGAAAAAAAAGUGAAUUAGUUCAAGUCACGUUUUGAUCAUGAUUUGUGCUAAAGAAAAAAAAAAUUGGAUUAUUUCACGUAUUUAUAAAAUGAAGCAAAAACAUAAAUCUUUUUAUGUUUAAAGAAUUAGGGGCAUUUUGGUAUUUUUAAUUUUUUGUGAAGGGAUUUUUAAUGGCCAUUAAGCAAAAACUUUUACAAGGGAUGUCACUGUAGUUUUAAGGGACUAAAAUAUAAUUUUUAGAUACCUCAAUCUCUGUCAGAAUAUUCAGGAAGGUAUUCAAGUUAAGCAGAAGAUAGGUUAAGAAUCUAAAGAUACAUUAGUUGAAUGUGGGCUAUUAAAAAAUCUGAGCCUGGUCUGGUCCAUGCUAGGACUCAAACUAAUGAGGGCCCAAGUUGGGUUAAACUUGGCUAGCUAGAUUUGGGUCGCUAAAAAAUAUGGGCCUGAUUGGCACAAACUAAAGACCAACAGAGGAAGCUAGGCCCAUGUUAAGACCAAUCAACACAUCUUAAGGCAUAAGGGAUUUAAGAUUGAUUAGUAAGGUGCUUGUCCAUCUACUUAUAAAAUUUACAUCCUUCUUAUUAGAUGUCUGGAAAUAUUUUUCAUUUUAUUUAUUUUUAGUAAUUCAUGCUGCCAAUCAUCAAUUAUCAUUUCCAAGAAUGAUUAAACAAUGAUAAGAACUUGACAAUCUAAAUGAUCAAAAUCCAUGCCCAACUUUGCAUUUGAAUUGAGUAUCACUAAACAAGUUGUGACACACCAAAUAGAAUUACACCUAUUUCAAUCUCUUCUCUAUUUCAUUUUUCUUUUCAACCCUUUUUUCUAGAAUUGAAAUCUCUAGGAGUCCUACAUCCUUCAAAUUAUACCCUACAAAUAAUUGUACAAUUUUUGGGUUGUCUUUCCUUACAAUAAUUUCUAAUUAACUUUCAUGUUAAGGUAAAAAAUCCAUUAGGUUCCCAAAGAAAGAAAAAACUUAUCUUGAAUGACUCAAGGAGGCAUGAGCACCUAAAACAACUUAUUGUUUUGUACUUGGCAAAGAAAAAAUUUAAAUAGUGGGUGCUCAAGAUUUAUGAGGGAGACCUCUCAAAGUUUGCAAGUCUUACUUAGAAUAAAUGUGCAUUUGUGCAUUAGUGUCUUUUUUCUUAUUAAAUUUUUUUUUUAUUAAAGGUUUAAAGCAUAAUUUGUUGAGCCUUAUGUAAACUUUAUGGCAAAUGUUUUAAAAUGAUAUUUGAAUCAACUUACUACAUCGUUAAAGGUAUUCAAGAUGAUAAAAUUAUUUUUAAGCAUCACAUAAGUAAACUAAUUAAUAUUAAAAAAUAUAAUGACUAUGAUAAUGACUUUUCUUCUAUAUAUAAUUAAAAUUGUUUGUGGCAUAAGGGGUUGGAAUAUGUUAACAUAGACCUCAUUAUCUAAUUCAAAAAAUAUAAAUUAUAAGAUGCCUUCUCAAAAUUAUUUUUGAGAAAAAUAAAAUUUGUUAAGCGUGAUAAAUGGGAAAAGCAUAUUAAAAAGAAUAUUUUAAAAACAAAAAUAUGAUUGCUAUAUCAUGACUUUCAUAAUUGCUUCUUGUGUAUUUAUUUGGUCUUUUUAGGCUUUUUAUUCUUAGAGGAAAGUAUUAUGUAUUUGUUAUUUUAAUAACUUAGAUAUAUAUGAAUUAUAUUUUUGGGUAAUAGAAAUAAACAUUUUCUUACUUUCUCAAAGUUUUGUAAAAAGGUUGAAACUUAAAAAUCUAUUACAAUCACUUAUACGAGAAGUGAUCAUAGGGGAGAAUUGGAAAGGUUUGAUUUUUAAAACUUUUACGUUGCUCUUGUUAUUGAGCAUAAUUGUUUGGCUCUUAUGGCACCUUAACAAAUGAGUUAUUGGACAAAUAGAACUAAGGAACGACAAAAACUUUGCUUAGUGAAAAUAAUUUAUUAAAUUAUUUUUUUGAAAGUGAUUAAUAUUUUCUACUUGUUAUAUUUUUUAAAUAAACUUUUAAUGAUAUCCAUUUUAAAGAAAACCUCCCAUGAGCUUAAAAAGACACACACGAAAACAAAAACAAAAACAAAAAUUCAAACUUUUAGAAUUCACAACACAUCAUUUGCCGGUAAGGAUAUGUGUGAACAUCAAGAUCAAAGAAGAGGCCAAGGAAAUGGAUGGGAUUGAGGAUGAGAACAAAGGUAAGGUUGAAGGUAAGGAUGAGAAGAAAAACAAGAGUGAGACUAGGAUGAUGUUGAGGUCAACCUCCAUUAGAGGCUUCUUAUACUAUAGAUGGACCUUCACAAAUUGCCCAACAACAUGGUCAUCAUAGAUGCCCUAAACAAAAGAGAAGAGUAUGGAAAGUGGACUUGUGCCCCAGUGGGUACCCAUGUAACUUGUAGCAAUGGUCCACAAUGUGCCCUGUGAGCCUAGAAUGAGAACAUAUUGGGCGAUCAUGCUUGGGCUUACCCUAAGAAGAGGAAGUUGCAACAGAGGGUGACAACAAAGAGGUGCUAAAUGCAAGGGAUUCGGACAGAGUAGGGGAACUAGAUCUAAUAGUGCAUUGUCGUUCUUCUUGAACGACAAGAUUGAAAACCUUUGCAACAAGGGGUAAUGUGUCAAAUAUCAAAAUAUGUCUUAUCAUCCCUAUUGUUCUAAGGGUAUUAAAACAGGACAAAAAACUUAUCAUUGAUAGGUCGAAGUGUGACAAUGCAUUGUCCUUGAAAUAGACCCACCCUCCUCGAAGACGAACUCGGUGCACUAGGGUACUAGUGGUCUACAUCUAGGAUCUAACAACCACUGCAUCUCGCCUUUGGUGCACUCUGUAGGCGAGACAUGUAUAGCGCGAGUUCUGAAAUAUUCCUCCAGAUAGAUGUAUAAAUGAGUGGAAAAUGAAGCAUAACAUUGGAAGAUUUAGAAGUAUUCUUUAAAAAUUUGGUAUGUUAAGAAUUGACGGGUGACCUGCUUUUAUAGACCACUAACACAAUCCCAACAAAACUCUACUUGUAGUCGGAACCAAUGACACAGUCCCAAUGGGACUCUUCCCAAAGAGUUGGCCAAAUAAGUCAAACGAAAUAAAAUUAAAUUUAAAAAAAAAAUUCUUUUGAAUUUUGUAAAAAUUAUUUGAGGUCGCGUGCAUAUGCAAAGAAGGGGACCCCGUGUAGGAAACGAUACACAUUAAGGAAUUAUAGCCCAACCAGUCUGAAGCCCCACUCAAAUGGGCUUGGUCCCCAUAGGCAUGCGAGACUCUCCUACACCUUUCCACAAACCCAUUAGGUUAAGGAAAGUGGGCUAGUUAAUAAACCCAUAAAAAGUGUUUCUCCUUUUCCUAUGUGGGACAAGCUAAAACACUUAAAGCGCUUUUUCACAUUUACACUCUUCCUACAAUCCCCCACAGAGUGUAGACAUGAAGAAAGAAAAUUUUGGAGGAGAAUAGAAUCCAAUGCAUUAGUACUAGUUCCCAAAGGCUAUGAACCUAUCUUAGGACAAAUAAGUAUCAAAUCACAAAACACGAUGAAAAUAAAUUUCUAUAAACUAGUGUUUCUUGAUGUAACUCAAGGGACCUUUAUCCAUAUUAGUUUUCUCAAUUGCACUACGAGUCGUACAAAACGAGUUGGCACAAAUAGGUCAUGCGCUCUGCUUGGAUAUUCAUGAGAGCUCUAGAGAAUCUACCUAAGUUCUCAUAGGAAGCAGUCCCACCUCCACUCUCAAUAGGUGAAUCCAUCAAGUAUGUUUUGCAUUAAACAUACCAUCCAUAAGGAAUAUGUUACUCAUUAAGAACAAACACUCAACCUUAGUCAAUGCAAAAUACAUUCUAUCUACACUAUAGGAAUAAACUCUCAUACAAUUAAAGUUGAUAGAGCACUUCAAGUCAACAAGUGAUUUGUUAUUACCCAUAUGAACCUACUUCAUGGAAUUUCCAUUCUAAUAGGUUAGUUACCACCACUCUUGACUUCUGUUAUAAGCAUAAGCCCUACCUCCCUCGAUGUUUCUUCCACUAGUUUCUUAUUUAGUGGUUUGAUCAAAGGAUCGACCAAAUUCAACUUUGAUCUCACAAAUUCUAGGGAUAUAACCCAUGUUUCAAGUAAUUGUUGCACAAUAUUAUGUCUUAGGCAUAUGUGUCUGAUCUUCCCAUUAAAUAUUUUACUCUUAGCCUUAGCAAUUGUAGCUUGCCUAUCACAACGCAUAGACAUAGACAGGACUGGUCUCGUCCAUAAAGAGAUAUCUACUUAAAGGUUUCUAACUCACUCAACCUCAAAACUUGCCUUUACUAAGGCAAUAAACUCAGUCUCCAUAGUAGACCGAGUAAUGCAAGUUUGCUUGGCAGACUUCCAAGAAACUGCACCUCCUCCAAGGGUAAAAACAUACCCACUAGUGGAUUUCAUCUCAUCUAAAUCAAAUAUCCAAUUUGCAUCACUAAAUCCUUGAAGGACACUUGGAAAUCCAUUAUAGCACAAACUAUAGUUCAUAGUGCCUCUCAAAUACUUAAGGACUCUACGAACAACAAUCCAAUAGUCCUGAUUAGGACUUUGGGUGUAUCGACUCAAUCUACCUACUACAUAAGCAAUGUCAGGUCUGGUACAAUUCAUUAAGUACAUUAGGCUCCCUAUGAGCUGAGCAUACUCGAUUUGGGCAAUAUCAUGUUUUCUAAUUUUCUUCAGUUGUGAGCUAGAAUCAUAAAGAGUUGACACUAGUUUACAAUCAAAGUGUUCAAACUUCCUUAAGAUCUUCUUAACAUAGUGUUCUUGAGAAAGUUUAAGCUCAUUAGGUGUUCUAGUUAUUUUGAUUCUUAGAACCACCUCUGCCUCUCUUAAGUCUUUCAUGCCAAACUUAGAACCUAGGAGUUCUUGGUCUCACACACAACCUCUAAGCUAGUUCCAAAAAUCAACAUGUCAUCAACAUAAAGGUAGAUGACUACACAUGUGUUAUCCUCAUACUAGUUGUAGAUACACUUACUUAUCAGAAUCAUUAAUGGAAUAUCCAUUAGUUACUAACACAUGAUCAAACUUGUUAUGCCAUUAUUUAGGUGCUUAUUUUUAACCCAUAUAGUGAUUUAACCAGCCUACACACUUUUUUCGCCUUCUUUGGAACUACACAACCCUCAGGUUGUUCCAUAUAAAUUUUCUCUUCCAAAUCCCCAUUCAAGAAUGUAGUCUUGACAUACAUUUGGUGUAUAACCAUAUAUAUUAUGAAUGGAAGCUAGAGCAAUCAAUACUCUAAUUGACGUUAUUCUAGUUAUAGGGGAAAAAAUGUCAAAAUAAUCUACAUCCAUCAUUUGUUUAAAGCCUUUGGCAACUAAACGAGCUUUAUACUUCUCUAUGGACCCAUCUUGUUUUAACUUUCUUUUAAAGAUCCACUUACAACCAAUAAUCUUUGUACCAGGAGGUAAAUCUACUAACUCCCAUGUGUGGUUAUACAUGAUUGAUUUGAUUUCACUAUUAAUAGUCUUCUUUCAAAAUGGCGCAUCAGGCAAAGUGAUAGCUUCUUUGUAGGAUCUAGGGUCCUCAUCUAUUACGAAAGUGUAGAAACUAUCUCCAAGGUUUUUUUUUUCCUAUCUCUUUUACUCCUUCUAGGUUCAAAUUCAGAAGGUUCAACAAACUCAUCUUUACUUGUUUUUUGAACUUAUUGUUUACCACCACUUAGUUUCACAGGAAAGAUGUUUUCAAAGAAAUCUGCAUUUCUUUGUUUCUAUUAUGGCAUUUUCAUCUACAAGACUAUUUUCUGACUUAGUAACAAGAAACCUAUAUGUUGCACUAUUCUCAACAUAGACAAUGAACAUUGCAUCAAAGGUUUUAGGACCCAGUUUUCAUUUUUUAGGUUAAGGAAAAAGAACUUUAGCUAAACACCCCCACACUUUCAGGUAUGCUAUAUUAGGUGCAUAACCCUUCCACAACUCAUAAGGAGUUUUACCAGUUUUCUUGUAAAGUAUUCUAUUUUGAAUAUGACAAACAGAGAGGAUAACUUUCCUCUACAAGUUUAAGGGUGCUCCUAAACUUACCAAUAUUGCAUUCAUCAUUUCUUUUAAGGUCCUAUUUUUCCUUUCUGUUACUCCAUUACACUCAGAGGAAUAAGGAGGAGUAGUUUCAUGAAUGAUUCCAUGAUUUUCACAAAAAGAAUUAAAGGGUUGGACUCAUACUCUCCUCCCCUAUCAUUUCUAAGUUUUUUAAUUUUCUUAAUUAGUAGAUUUUCCACUUCAUUUUUGUACUUGAUGAAAGCAUCUCUUGCUUCAUCUUUGUUUCUCAAAAAAUAUACCCUUGUAUGUCUUAAGUAGUCAUCUAUGAAAGUUAUGUAGAAUCUUUUACCACCUCUAGUCAUUGUAUUUUUUAGGCCUCCUAAGUUACUGUGUAUUAAACUUAGUAGAUCUAAUUCUCUUUCUACUGAUUUGCAUGAUUUCUUUGUGGUUUUUUAUUCUACACAGGAUUCGCAUUUUCCAUGGUUUUCUAAGGACAACUUAGGGGUUAAACUCAAUUCAAUCAUUUUCUUCAUAUAUAAAAAGUUCACAUGUCCUAAUCUACUAUGGAAAAUAUCACAAGCAUCAACUAUGUAAGCAAAAGAAGAAUGUGCAUUAUUAUUGAUAAUAUCAUAAACAUUUAACAUAAAUAAAUCCUGAUUACAAUAGCCCUUCCCCACAAAUACAUCAUUCUUGGUUAGAACUAUUUUAUCAUAGUCAAACAAGAUCCUCACUCCUGUUUUCCCAAGCAGAGAUAUUGACACCAAGUUCUGGAGAAUAUCUAGCACAUGUAGAACAUCACUGAGGGUGAGUGUUUUUCCAGGGGUUAGCUUGAAAAGAAAUUUCUCUUUGCCAAUCACUAGGAUAGAUCUAGAAUCACCUAUGAACACUUGUUCCUUUCCUUCCUUUACAGUGGUAUAUGAAACAAAUGCACUUUUGUUGCCACAGAUGUGCUUGGUAGCCCUAGAUUCUACGACCUAGUUCUUCAUAUUGGUGACCAAGCUCACCUUAGAGGAGACUACUACUAUGAUCUUUGCUAGAUUUGCCUUUGAAUUGGUCUUCUCAAUUCUCUUCCUAUGGCAGCAUUGAGCUUCAUGGAGUCCACCUUGCCACAGACAAAGCAAUUACCCCAUUUUUUAAUAGUUGGGUUAUGAACCUUAUUUGUUGCAUUGGGCUUGGUCCUAGAGUUUUACUUUCUGAACCUUUUUUUUUUUUUUUUAGGUUUGGGUUUUUCUUCUACUACAUUAGCCUUAGAAGACAGUUCCUUAGUUUUCUCAACAUUGUCCCUAUUUCGGUUUUAUGCAUCAAUCUUAAUAUAGGUUAUGACAUCUUUUAAGGGCAUUUGUUUCCUUUUAUAUUUCAUGUUAUUUUUGUAGUCUUUCCAAGACUCUAGAAGAGUCUCUACUAAGUAACCGGCCACAAAAGGUUCAGGUAAUUUAAUGUCUUCAAUAGCUAAGUCAUUAAUCAAUAAAUAGUAGUCAUGGAUUUGAUAUGAUACAUCUCUAUUCUUGGUCAUUUGGAAAUUUCUAAAAUUUUGUAUGGCAUAUUUCUGAGCUCCUACAUAUUCCAAAAUACAUUUUUUAUUCAUUUCAUCCCAAAUUUCUUUUGCAACUUUAUACUGACAAUAAACAUCAAAAAGUUAAUUUGAAAGGGUACUCAUAAUAGCAUGUCUAACUUGUUUAUUUCUAGUUUCCUAGGUAGGAAACAAAUCAAAACCAUCUUUUGGUUGUAGGUCAGUCAAAAUGUGUUCCAAGUUCACUACAUCAAUUGAUGAGAAAACCCUUUCUUACCAUUUCUUAAAGAAUGACUCAUUGAAGGGAUCAAUCUUAGAGGUAUUAGGACGUGUGUGAAAUAGGGAAGCUUCCAUUGAUAUUUUUCAAGAUUGUUGAUCUAAGGGUAUUAAAAUAGGACAAAAAACUUAUCAGUGAUAUGCUGAGGCAUGACAAUGCAGUAUCCUUGAAAUAGAUUCACCUUCCUUGAAGAUGAACUUGGUGUACUAGGAUACUAGUAGUCUACCUCCAAGAUUCAACAACCAGUGUAUCUCGCCUUUGGUGCACUCUAUAGGCGAGAUGUGUACAACUCAAGUUUUGAAAUAUUCCUCCAGAUAAAUGUAUGAAUGAGUCGAAAGAGAAACAGAACGUUGGAAGGUUUAGAAGUAUUCUUUGAAAAAUUGGUAUGUUGAGAGUUAAGGGGUGACCUACUUUUAUAAACCACUAUUACAGUCUCAACUAGACUCUACUUGUAAUUGGAACCACUAACACAAUCCCAAUGGGACUCUACUUGUAGUCUGAACCACUAACACAAUCCUAAUGGGACUUUUCCUAAAAAGUCAGCCAAAUAAGUCAAACUAAAUUAAAUUAAAUUAAAAAAAAUUAUUUUGAAUUUUGUAAAAAUUAGUCGAGGUCACGUGUGUAUGUAGGUAGGGACCCCUUGCAUAGGAUGCAUAUGCUGACGCAACGCACAUUAAGGAAUUCUGACCCAACCAGCCCAAAGCCCCACUCAAAUGGACUUGGGCCCCAUGGGCGCGUGAGGCUCUCCUACACUUCUCCACAAGCCCAUCAAGCUAAGGAAAGUGGGCUAGUUAAUAAACCCACAAAAAGUGUUCCUCUUUUUCUUAUGUGGGAUAAGCUAAAACACUUAAAGCACCUUUUCACAUUUACACUCUUCCUACAAUCCCAACAUAAGAUUCAUUCAAGCCCAUCAAAAAUUGCAUCACAUAUUCUUGCUAUUGAUAAUCCAUCUAUGCUUUCAUUCCACCACAUUGACAAAUAAAUGGGAAUGAGUUACAAAUUCUUGUGUUCAUCCUAAAGAAUUUUCAAAUGGGUAUAAUAAAGUAUUGAUAUCAAGGGAACCUUGAGACAAACCGUGCAGUUGUUGAUUAAUCUAAAAAAUGCGUUGGGCGAUGCUAUAAUGAAACUGAUUGUGUAGAUCUGCCCAAACAACUUGAGUGAUGUCCAGGUAGAGGAGACUAUCAGCAAUCUCUUUGGAAGCGACAUUGAAAAGCCAAGAAGUGUCCAUACUAUUACAUCUUGACCAAACCCCAACAAAAGGAUCCUAUGGAGGUGGUUGCGAAAUCGAUCCAUCGACAAAACCAAGUUUAUGCUUGGCAUUGAGAGCCAUAAGCAUGGCUCGGCCCCAAGUGUUGUAGUUGGGGCCAAUGAGGAGAUGAGAAACAAGAACCAAUUCGGGAUGGUCACCUCUAUGUAAGAAAAAUAGAAUGCUAGUGCUAUCCAUGGAAAAAGAAGAAUCGUGGUGAGCCAUGGUACUAGUGGAAGAAGAGGGUGUGAGUGGCUGGAAUCGGUUAGUGUUGUUAUUCUGACCACCAUGAGCCAUUUUAGCAAAAAGAUAGAAGAGCAACAAAAGAAAAAUGCUCUGAUACCAUAUUAUGAGGAGAGAAUGGAAAGGAGAAAAACAUUCUCAUUUCAUUGUAUAUCUCUUUUAUAGUCUGAAGGUACAAAAAAAAAAUAUUGCAGAGUGCUCUACCUUACAUUGCCAAAGGAGAUAGGUUGUACAGCUCAUCACUAUUCUCAUAAACUAUAGAAUGUUCUAUACUAAUAUAACUGUUAUAAGAGAAAAAAUAAAUAAAUAAAUGCUAGUAUGCUAAAACUUAAAACUAUUAAUUGUAUUGUAUAUAUUUAGAUCAAGAUUGUUUUUAUGAUAAUUUUAUUUUGAUGCAUGUAUAUAUGUUUUUCCAUUUUGAUACAGUUGAUGUUAGUUGUUUAUGAGAUUUGGAAUAUAAUUAUUUUGUUUAUGAUACACUGUGAUUAUGAUAUAAACAGGUUGAUUGUAAAUAUUUAAUUUAAAUUAAAAACAUCUUUUGAAAAUAUGAUUUUUGCAUAAAUUUGUAAAUUAUAAGUACAUUAAAAUGGUCUUUUUAAAAGAUAAUUUCAUUAAAUAAAAUUAAUUUUUUCAAAAGAUAAUUCCAUUGAGUAAAAUCGUCUUUUUGAAUGAGAAUUUCAUUCAAUGAAAUUGUGUGUUGAAAAUAUUAUUUAAAAAUAGGAAAUCGUUUUUCCAAAAGUCGAUUCCAAUGUAAUUUUUCAAAAGUGAUUUUAGGAAUGCUAAUAUUAAUUGCACUAUUGGAACUUUAAAACCUUUUUUUUUAAACAAGCUUACAAAGUAAAAUCAACUUUCAAUAUCAACACAAUUUAUAAAUUUUUAUUAAAAUUAUCUUGUUGAAAAAACGAUUUUGAUGGGUCACCAUAACCGUUGUAUUUUUAGAAUAUUCGUAAAUACCAUUUUUAAAUAUACAUGGUAGUGUACAAAAAAGGGUCUAUGACUAUGGUUUUGUCACUUCAAAGUGAAAAGAAAAAAGAAAGGAAAGGAGAUUAAGGUUGGCGUUAAACCUUAAUAGACAUGAUUUGAUAAACAAGAGCAGCCAAAAGCCACAUGAGUAAGAAGGUCAAGGAUGGUUUUUGUCUAUCAACCAGAAUAAUCAAAUUCAAUUAUGGUGGGUAGUUUAAUUUUUGCAAUGGAGAGGAGGUCAAGUAAUAAUAAAUGUUGUAGAGUAAUAAAAAAAAAUUGUAAAGGCAAUAAGGAGGCUAAAAAGAUAAAAUGAAAAUAUAAACUUAAAAAUUAGUUAAUUAUUUUUAUUUAUUAUUUAAUUUUAUUUUUUAUUUUAAGUAAUAUAAUUAAUUUAUUUUAUCAAACAUACUUAUUUAUUAAAUAACUUAAAUUAAGUUAUUAAGUUAUUUUAAAUUAUUGAAUUAGUUUACCAAACACUCACAAAUAUCAAACUAAUUUCUUUCCCAAAAAAACUAAAAAAAGAAAAAAAGGCAAACUCAUAUUCUAAUAAUUCGUUUUGUUUUUAUUUAUAUUUUUCCAAGAACCCAUUUCUUUUUCUCUCCAACCCUUCGGACUACACUUUCCUCUAUAUAUAUAUAUUCAUUUUUAUUUUUUUUAAUCAUAUUUAUUACCUAAUACAUAUAAAUAAAUAUAAAUAUAAAUAUAAAUAUUUAACGACCUUUAAUUCUACAUUUAUUUUUAGAUGAUAAAUGUACAAAUAAUAUAGGUAAAAUAUAAUAAUCUUUAAAAUUAUAAAACAAUAAAAUUCCUAACUUUUGGAACCUUAAUAAAAUUGAAUAAUAAAAUUAUCUUUCGCUUUUGGAUAUACCUUCUUAUCACUUAACUGUAUACAAAUAUUAUUUAAUAAAAUUAAAAAUACUAAUAUAUUUACACUUCAUCUUUAUCUUAAUUUACUCUAUUAAUAUUAUAAAAAAAUAUAUAUUACUUAGAAUGUAUUCAAUAGUGAUUCUAGAAAAUGUUUUUAAUUAAUAUUUUAAAUUUUUUAUUUUUUAAAUACCAAAAAAGUUAUAAAUCCCGGAUAAAAUUACAAUCAAACAAGCUUUUAAUGAACAUAAAAAAUACUAAUAUAUUUAUAUUUUAUAUUUAUCUUAACAAAUAAACUAAUUUUCUGGAAUCAAAGCAUGGACUGCUGUUGUUGGGGAGGUGUAACCUGGGAUACCACAGGUCAUGUUGCCUCUCUUGAUCGCAGUAGCCAAUUAAUUUAUGGUGGAUUCAGUAACUCCAGUAGCAUUUUCAGUCUACAACAUCUCCAGAGCUUGAAUUUGGCUAACACCUUCUACUUUUCUCAAAUUCCAUCAGGAUUCCACGAGCAUGGUAAUGUGACUUACCUGAUCAAUUAGUUAAAAGUAUGUCUUUUCUGGGCAGAUUCCGAUCGAGAUUUCAUGCUUAAGAACGUUGGUUACCAUCGAUAUCACUAGCUUUAAUUACCGCAUUGGAAUCCCUACACUGAAGCUUGAGAGCCCAAAUCUGAGAAUGCUGAUUCAGAACCUCAAAGAUCUUAGAGAACUCCAUCUUAACGGUUUAGACAUAUUGGCCCAGAGGAAGGAGUGGUGCCAGGCAUUAUCAUCUUCAGUUCCUGAUCUCCAAGUUCUGAGCAUGUCCUAGUGUUUUCUUUCAGGCCCUAUUCAUCCUUCCCUUAUGAAGCUUCACUCCCUUUCAGUUAUUCGUCUGGAUUAUAACUUCACAAUACUUCUCAAUACUGGAAAGGCUUUUCGAAUCUUGUGAAUCUUGACUUAGGUCACAAUGUACUGCAUGGGAGUCUUCCAUGGUCCCUGUUCUCUCACCCAUCAUUGCAGAGGAUAAGGCUUAAAAAUAACCAAUUUUCUGGUCAAAUUGAAGCCCUUAAUUUGAGUAGCAACAAUCUAAAAGGGCCAAUACCCAUGUCUGUCUUUGAUCUCCGGGGUCUUCACAUCCUUGAACUCUCCUCCAACAAACUCAAUAGCACACUAGAACUAAGCAUAUUUCAAAAACUAGGGAACCUACUUCUCUCAAUCUUUCGCACAACAAGUUGUCAUUCAUUGAGGAGAGUUUCUAUUCCACCCUUUCUAAAUUCCCCCAGUUCACCACAUUAAAAUUGUCUUCUUGCAACCUAAGAAGAUUCCCUGAUUUAAGGAACCACGUACUUUUUUUUUACAUAUUUAGACCAUUCACAAAACCAAAUUCAGAGGGAAAUUCCUGAUUAGGUUUGGAAGAAUGGUAAUGGCCAUCUUAUGCGUUUGAAACUCUCUCAUAAUUUUCUGGUGGAUCUGCAAGAACCUUUUUCCAAUCUUCCUCCUCAUCUGUCUACCCUUGACCUACAUUCAAACCUGCUCCAUGGUCGAAUCCCCAUUUCACCCAAAAUUUUCUGCUAUGUGGAUUAUACUCAACCAACAGAUCCUGAAGAUAUUGGUUCCUACAUCUCCUUCACUAUUUUCUUCUCUUUCAAAGAUAACAUCUCAGGAAUCAUUCCUGCAUCCAUUCUUGACUUCUCUAACAACGCUUUGAAUUGGUGGAAUACCUUUAUGUUUGAUUGAGAACGAGGGUCUUGUGGUUCUGAAUCUACGGAGAAACAUGUUUAGCAGGAUUAGAUCUGGGAAUUUUCAAGGCAACUGUAAUUUACAGACUCUGGAUCUUAAUGGGAAUCUUUUAGAAGGGACAAUUCCUGAAUCUGUGGCCAAUUGCGAAAAGCUAGUGGUUUUAAACCUUGGGAAUAAUCAGAUAGAUGAUAUUUUUCCUUACUAGUUGAAGAACACAAGCAGAUUGCAUGCCCUUGUUCUGCGAGCCAACAGAUUCCAUGGGCCAUUUGGAUGUCCUGAUAGUAAAUCCAUCUGGGCAAAGCUUCAGAUUGUCGACCUAGCUUACAGCGAGGUGCCAGCAAAAUGCUUCUUGACCUGGAGAGCAAUGAUGACUGGUGAAGGUGAAAUUCAAUCCAAACUCAAACACUUUGCUAUUUAGGGUUGUAGAAUACAGUCAACUGUGUUGUUCUAAGGGUAUUAAAACAGAGGACUAACCCAAAAACACACAAGCAAAUAAUAGAAUGAGGAACUGGAAACUUAUCGAUGAUAGGCUAAGGCGUGGUAAUGUACUGUCCUUGAAAUAGAUCCACCCUCCUCAAAGACAAACUCGGUGUCUUGGGUGCACUCUGUAGGUGAGAUGCAUACAGUUUCGAUUCUUAAAUAUUCCUCCAAAUAAAUGUAUGAAUGAGUGGAGAGGGAAACAGAAAGCUGGAAGGUUUAGAAGAACUCUAUGAAAAUUGGUGAAUUGAGAGUUGAGGGGUGACCUGUUUUUAUAGGCCACUAACACAGUCCUAACGGGACUUUACUUGUAAUCAGAACCACUAACAAAGUCCCAAUGGUCCCAAGAGUCGGCCAAAUGGAAUAAAAUUAAAUUAAAAAAAUAUUUUGAAUUUUAUAAUAAUUAGCCAAGGCCACGCGCGUACGCAAGGGGGGCAUUAAGGAAUUUUGGCACAACCAACCCAAAGCCCCACUCAUUAGGCUAAGGCAAGUGGGCUAGUUAAUAAACCCACUAAAGGUAUACCUCUUUUUCCUAUGUGGGACAAACUAAAACACUUAAACCACAUUUUUCACAUUUACACUCUUCCUACAAACUAUACUAUUAGGAUGUUGUAACAUUUACCAGCAAAGGUCAAGAGAUAAGCUUAUGAAGGUCCUAAACUCUCUUCACUUCCAUUGAUUUCUCCUUCAACAAUUUUGAAGGCCAUAUGUCAUUAGAGAUAGGAAACUUCCUUUCCAAUCUUGGACCUCUCCUUCAAUCAGUUAGUAGGGAGCAUCUCAACAGGUUUGUUGUGAUUCCUAUAGCAAUUCCUAAUGAGGAAAUUAGAGAAAACAAAAGAAAAACACAGAUUUAACGUGGUUUAGCUUAAUGCUUAUGUUCACGGGAACAAGGGUUGAAGAUUUUCACUACUCCAAAAUUAGGGUUACAAGAAAGGGUAUUGAUACUAACCCUCAAUUAUUGAGAAAUUCCAAAAAUACCCCUGAAUAGUACGCUGCCCGAGCGGAACAGAGUAGAAUGACGAAAUUUGUCAUUUUUUCUCCAUAUAUGUCUUUCACUCAAUAUGAGCCACAUACUACAACAAUCUCCACCUUGGUGAAUAUUCACCCUUUAGGAAAAAAGAAAAACAUAGCUUGGAACUCCACCUGGAACAAUAGGUUGGGACAUCUCCUAUCUAACAUCUGGAGACAUUAAUCAAGUUCAAGCAAUGCUUGAACUUUUCUAUGGUAACAAGUUUUGUCAACAUGUUUGCUACAUUCUCAGAAGUGUGAACCUUCUCAAGUAACAAUUCACCAGAAGAAACCAAUUCCCUGAUCUUGUGAAACCUCACAUCUAUGUGUUUGGUCCUUGCAUAAUACACAUGGUUCUUUGCCAAAUGAAUGGCACUCUAGCUGUCACAAUAUAAUUGAACUCCACCUUACUAAAUACCUAACUCCUUGACCAAUCCUGUAAGCCACAAUGAUUCCUUUGUCACCUUAGCCACUACCAUAUAUUCUGACUCAGUAGUAGAUAGUGCAACCAAAGACUAUAUCAUAGACUUCCAACAAAUAGGCCCUCCACUAAGAGUGAAUACAUAACCUAUGGUAGACCUCCUAUCAUCUAAGUCUCCUACAUAGUUUGCAUCCCACAUAUCCCUCAACUAAAAGAUCACUCUGUUGUCUCCUGAACAUGAUGUCAUAGUCUACAAUACCCCUCAAGUAUCUAAAGAUCCACUUGACUGCAUCCCAAUGCAAUCUUCUCGGAUUUGAUAGAAACUUGCUCAACACACUAACAGUUUGUGCCAAGUCUAGUCUUAUACAAACCAUAGCAUACAUCAAGCAUCCCACUGUACUUGCAAGUGGAAACUUUGACAUGUCUUUCACUUCAUCAUCUAUCUUUGGGUACUGAUUAGUAGACAAUCUAAAAGGAUUCACCAAAAGUGUACUUACUGGUUUUGCAUUAUCCAUGUUGAACCUCUCCAACACUUUUUCAACAUAGCUAUGCUGAGAUAACCAUAAUCUCCCUGAAGUUCUGUCCUUGUGAAUCUCCAUCCCAAGAAUCUUCUUGGUCGCACCUAAAUCCUUCAUGUCAAACUCUUUGCUCAACAAAGACUUCAACUUAUUGACCUCACUCAUACUCUUUGCAGCAAUUAACAUGUCAUCCACAUAGAGUAACAGAAAAAUAAAUGAAUCAUCAUCUAGGCUCUUUACAUAAAUACAAUAAUCAUACUCACAUCUCUUGUAGCCAAUCUAGAUCAUGUAAAAGUCAAAUCUCUUGUACCACUGUCUUGGGGACUACUUCAACCCAUAAAGUGAUUUUCUCAAUUUACAAAUGUGGACCCACAUUUUUCACAUGCGUUCCCACUCGAUCAACGAGACUCACUUUUAUUUGUGAAAAAAUAAUUUUUGGAAAAGUCGAAGUUGCCACUUAUUUUAUUUUUAUUUUAAAGGGAAAAUAAAACAAGAAAGAAAAACCCUAAAAAAGUGACUCCAUAAUUUUUGGAAAAAACGUGUCUUUGAAAAACCCGAGUCUAGGUCUGGGGAUCAGGUUACUUAUUGGGAAAGUACCUCUAAAAAGUAACACCCCUCUAAGCCCUAUAAAGGUUUCUACUGACUAAGUUGGGGGGAAUGUAGCAAUUAAAUGGUUGAUCAUGGAUACCUAAGUAGGCUAGGUGGCUUAAAAAAAAAUAGCAUGUCAAACAAGAAAGUCUGAUCAUAAGAGAGAAUCAAAGUGCUUACCUGAACGGGCUUUCAAGAGCUAUCAUGAAACAUAAAAGUUAGUAGAGAAAUAUAUCACACAACAUGUGUUUUAUCCAAGCAAAUCAAGUAUACACCUAAGAACCCAAGAAUCACAUCAAGUAUGGAUAUAGUUAUCAGUAGCAUACGUGUCCACAGAAUUCUCAAGGGUAGGUGUGGAGGAGCGUACCUAGUGACUCAUGCCCAAUUGGUGUCUCAGCUGAUUUGUGUUCAGUUGGUGCUCCUUGAUUGAGGAAGUGAUCAACAAAAUUUAUACCUAUAACACCAUACACUAGGGUAGCAAAUACAAAGCUACUAUAGUAUAGUGGCUCUAAGGAUCGUUCACUGGGAAUGAUUUGCAAGCAAUCAAGGAUACCAAUUCCAAGUGAAUUGGUUUUGUUUCAUUUCACGGUUAGCUUAAGGAAUAAAACAUAAACUUUGAUUUGUAAAGGUUGAGACUUAAACUAACUAACUUAACAGAAGUUUGGAAUAAUUUAGGAAGAAAAGCAUUCCUUGGACAUUUAGGUUCACUGGGGUGGUCCCUCAUGCAAAAGACAUAGCUCCGGUCAGAUGGUUCAUUUCCUCGCAUUAGAGAUUCAACUUAAAGUCAAUUCUCUAAUCGGUGAUGUACAGAGACUCCUUCAAUUAGAUUUCACUUUAAUUCUCUCACUGAUACAACUUGCAAUGGUUCAUGCCUCUCACGAGCACUUACCAUUCAAGGUGAUCUUUAACCUUGGAUUCCCCUUCACAAACUCGCAAGAGAUAACUAAUGGAUGUCUCCUAGGAGUCCAAAAGCUUACCAAGUGUUGGUAAUUCCAGAAAAUCCUACCUUGAAGUCACCUACCAGAGGCUCGCAAGGGGUAAACUAGUGCAUUCCCACGGUUGGAAAUCACUUGCCUUACCAAGUGUUGGCCCAGGUGACUCCAAGAUAUUUUAAGUUAACUAAAAACAUUGAAAUCACUAAAGGAUUUCACUUCCUCUUCAUUAAAAACUAAAACCACAAAGCUUUGCAUUCUUGCACUUGGAACCUUCCCCGGCACCCUUAGCUCCAAGGAAUUGGAGGUUUAGUUACUCAUUCUCUGGGGAAAACUCCUCAGAGAAUUCAUAACUUAGAAAUAAAAUGAAAAUACAAAGUGAGAAGGUAAGGCAGUAGAAAGAAAAGACCUUUACUUGCUUCCCAAAAAUUUACAGAAGGAACUCCUCUCCGAGAACAGGCUCCCGAGAGGUAUUUAUAUCCAACUAAUAUAAAACUAAUUCUUACCAAGAUAUUUGGUCUUUUUACUAACUUAAAAACUAAGGAAUCAUGUAAUUGGUGGUUUACAAGGAGUAUUUUGGGAUUUAGACAACAAAAAUCUAAUGGAAAAUAUCUCCCAAUGUCGGUAGCAAGCUUCGGGAGGCUUCAGGAGCCAUUUCGCAGGUGAAAAAUGAGGCCUGUGAAAUUUCGCAGACACCCAAGAGGGCUGCGAAAUUAUCUUGCAAGACCGAGCUAUCUUCACUAGGCUGCAAAGUUGGCUUCCAUCUUGAAGUUUCCAGCUCCCUUCUCGCGGCAUGGUUCGUGCAUCGUUAGAAGGAGAAACACCUUACUGUACAAAAGUGUUGCGAAAUUCUCGCAACAAAAGGCUGAUUCCGCAACACUUUAGAGUGUCUGGCUUGUAAUGGCUGCAACUUCUUCGUUUCAACUCCAAAUUGCACACCGUUUGAAGCAUUGGAUUGUUGACUUCCUGAGCUUUGAAAUGGUAUAUAGCUUGUAUCAUUUAGACUUCAGAAAGUGCUCCAAAAGUGGCUGCUACGACUAUCAUCAAGAAUAUGCUCCAUGGCAGAUUCUCUUUGCUUUUUCUCCUUGCAAUCCGGAUUCACUCUUGGCAAUUGAAUUCUAAGCUUUGCCCAAGAUUCCUCAUAGCUCUCCUCAUUCUUGACUUGCUUUGGUGAUCAAAAUACUAACAAAAACACCAAAACUUACACAAAGUGAUCAAAAUUGCUUUAAAGGAUCCUUAACAUGCCAAUUGAGUUAAAAGGCCUAAACUACUACUCAAAAGUGUUAAAAAGGAUUAAUUAAAGGCUAUCAAAUAGCACUUUUUGAGUAGUAAUCACUCCCCCCAACCGACAUAUUGCUAGUCCCUUAGCAAUAAAGGAGAGAAAAAUGAAAAUAAAUAGCUAAUUAUACUAAAAUUUACAACAUCAUGCUGAAAGGAAAAUAAUUCUUAAGUGGCAUGAUGAUCUAUUUCUCACAUGAAUCAUUAAAGAAAUACAAACCCAAAUCUCAACAAGAGUCACAACAAACUAUGCUAAGCACUGUCAAUCAAGGGAGUGCAUUAUGCAAACUGAAGUUUUAAAAUCAUUUCACUUUCUAAGAACUAAACUUCAAUCUUCCACAAAAAUCUGUGUAUUGGUUCCUUAGCUUCCGAGAAUAAUAUGCUACUAAUCUCACCCCCCAACCUAUCUCUUUUCAACACUUUAGUAAACUGACCAAAAUCAAUAAGAAAAGAACACACUUUCAUCAUCUUUUUUUUUUUUUUUUUUUUUUUCAAGGUAGCUUUUUGGGGUACUCUUUCUGACUUGUCCAUGUAAUGGGGGUCCAUCGAUGACUCCCAACCAAUUAAGGUUUAGGGCACCAAGUUUUAAGGAUCUUUCAACCACUAACUCCUCGGAUUUUUCCCCGGACUUUUAAGAAUGAAUUUCUAAUACCCAAGCAUCUACCAUAUGCUAACUCUACCUAUUCACCCUUGUAACGAGCAUUGAGGUCGGUGACUCCCAACCAAUUAAGGCUUAGGGCACUAGGCUUUAAAGGCUUUCACCAUAUACCCCUCAGACCUUGCUCGGGUUUCAAGGCAAGCAACCAACUUUCUUUAUUUCAAAGGCUCAUUGGCCUUUUGCAGGGUGUUUCAAUUUUUAUCAAAUGAGGUCAAAUAUACCAAGUCCCAAAAAUAUACUAAGUCAAGAGGGAAAUAGCUUUUCAUCUUAUAAUCGGAAACUAAUGUGCACAGUGUGUGGAUAGCUUAAAGUGGAAGAACUCAAUUCAAUUUCAGUAGAAGUUUCAACAAUUGGAACACUUUAGUAAGCAUAAUCCAUACUCUAAGUCAAGUGAAAAACAACAGUUCAAUUUCUCUUGGUUUAAUUUGAAAAUUUUCCUCAAAAUUCAUGGAGAAUAGAGUAACAAGAGUAAAAAGUAAAAACUACAACUAAUUAACCAAUAUAAUUGCAAUACCAAAAAGAUUUAGAAUACUUCCUUCCUCAUACCCCCCAACCGAACUGAGCAUUGUCCUCAAUGUGAUUUGAGUGACUGUAACAAAAGGGAGGAAGUGGUACCUCCUUGCUGAUAUCAAAUUCGAAUAUUGAUUGGGGAAAACCACAUGUUUCAAAAAAGAAUAGAAUAUGUGAGAAAAGGAAAUAAUAAUAACUUAAUGCUAACUUUUAACAAGAAAAAUUCAACUUGUAUUACUUUGAGUUCAUUUGAUUACAAUGCUAAAGACAAGUAACACAAGGAAUCCCAUAUAUAGUACCAAAAUACUGGGAUUUCAUUUCAACUAAAAAAAACAAACAAGCAUGCAUAAAAACAUAAAUAGCAAAUAUAUAUAAUGUCUGAUGAGUGGGGUGAUGGUGCUAAGCAGAAGGAUCUGCCUCCUCUGUAGGUGGAUCAGCUGGGGCUUCAGGCUCUGGAGCUUGAGACUCUGAAGGCUGAGAGUGUGGCUCUGGUGGAGUAGGAAUGGAGGGCUCUACAGCUUGUGGCAGAUCGAAAUGGACUUGAAGCUGCCUUAGGAUGGCAGCUUGUUGAGCCUGAGAGGCUAACAUCUGCUCCUGGCAUGCUUUGAUGGCUGCCAACUCCUGAGCAAGAUUGCUCUGGCUAGCUGUAAGAGUCUCCAAUGCUCGGCACAGCUCUCGAUAUUCGGAUAUAGGGAUGGCCAUCCUCGGCUCAGCUGAUGUGGAUGGCUGUGAUGGAGCAGGUGUAGCUGGUGGAGCUCGAGGGAUGGCAGGAGUAGCAAGUGUAAUACCUUCAGGUGGAUGUCUUGGGGAGGCUCUCCUUGCUGCUGGCUGAGGCUGCCCAGGCUGAUCAAUUUUGUAGGCCGUCAUAUUAUUCCAUUUAUCAAGGGUAAAUGGCUCACGGCAUAUUCUCUUUCUUUCCUGCUGAGGCUCAGAGGGGUAUCCGAGAUGCUCCAAAACUUGGCAUAGCAGCCUUGGGAAGAGGAGUGGAAUGCAAUCUGCUCUUUGAAGCUUCUUCUUGUGAACCUUCUCCUCAAAGUAUAGAAGGGCUGCCAUGAUCAGAUGAUGAGGCCCAAAGAAGAAUCCUUCAGACAUCUUGUAUAGAGCUUCCAAGAGAAUUCCCCUUCUUUGGGUCCAAUGCUGCAGGGGAUAGAUAUUAUGCCUCAAAAAGGCAUCAAUCAAAAACAUCACUGGAGGUAGCUCCCCCCUCAGCAGGUGUGAUCGAUUGGCAGCUCCUCUGGACAGGGUGCUAACCAUCUCUAACUCAGUUGGAUUUGUCCAAGCUUUAAAAUUGUCGAAUUGGGUUGGCUCAAAAGGAAUUUGCAGAGCUUCAGCAAUGUGUCUUGCUCCCAAAAUACCAUGCCUUCCAUCAAUUAUGAAAUGGAUCAGAGUUGGAUUUCUUACUUCUUUGGUUGUCAUGGUCUGGUAGAAGUCCGUGACUACCCGAGGAUAGAAAAAAUCCCUUGGAGCUAGCAGAUGCUCCAUAUGAUAUCUCCUCAGCAGCUGGAAUGAUUGGGCAAGCUCUGGCCUCACUCUAAAUGCUGCUAAAUCGAAGCACAAUUCAGAAUGGAAUGCCCGAGUUCGGCAAUCCAGGUUUCCUUCGAUUGGGGGCUGGGGCAGCAUUGGCCUUCGGAUCACUUCUUCCAGAGGUGUUUCCGCUUGCAAUUUGGGGCUCUGGAAUUGGCGCUUGAGGCUCCUGAGCUUUUUCUUGGGGUGUCGAAGAUGGUACCGGCGAUGGAAUUGGAGUUGCUUCUGGUGAGGGAAUUGGCGAGGGAACCGGUGACGGCUCUGGAAUUUGUACCGGUGAAGGAUUUGGUGAAGAUACCGGAGAUUGAACCGGUGUUGGCUUUGGGGAUUUCUCAGGGGAUUGCUCAGUCAAAUCAAUUGGUUCAGAGCUCUCAACCCUGGGUUUCUUCUUCAAUGGCUGACCGCCUGACCUUGUUAAAUAUCGCCUUGCCGGCGGCUUUGGUGGCGUCGGCUUCACUGGAGAAGGAUUUGGUCUCGACGGCGAAGGCUUUGGAGCAGGUUCUGGAACAGAACCUGGACUUGGCUCCUUUCGCAGACUCCUUUUGCGGUUCGAAGGAGAUGAAGACUUUGCCCCUCGCGUUCGUGCCAUUUUGGGCUAUCGAUCGUUGGCCGGCGCUGCUGAACGGAGAAGACGACCGGAGGUUCGGACGGCGUGGCUUGGUGAAGAAGACGAAGGGGCUGCGAGAAUGGUGCUCUGAUUUUUGAAACCCUUUUCGCAGCACUUUUGACCGGUAUAAAUAGGAAAAACGGAAGCUCAGGGGUCAGUUUAAGUUUCGCAACAAAACGCCAAUUUCGCAGCAACUUGCCAUUUUCGCAGCAACUUCGCAGUGAGUUUCGCAGCUGCGAAAUUGAUGUCACUGUGCUGCGAAGUGGCACUCGUGUGCCAAAUCCACUUUUGCAAUUGCGAAAUGCCCUGCGGAGUAGGACUUUUAGUGCGAAAUCACGCUUUUUCAUUUCGCAACGCGUUUCGCAGCUGCGAAAUUGAUGCCACUGUUCUGCGAAGUGGCACUCGUGUGCCAAAUCCACUUUCGCAAUUGCGAAACACACUCGCAGAGGCUUCUACAGUGCUGCGGAAUGGGUUGGCAGCAAAAUGCCAAUUUCGCAGAAGUUUCCUUCACCCUGCGAAAUUUCGCAGAGCUCUGUUUUUCCCCUGUUUUUGCUCUGUUUCGGCUCCAAUUUCGGCCCGAUUUUUUUUCUUUUCAAUUUCCUUGAAAUUUCUUCCACCUGGGAUCAUAUAAAACGAUUAAAACACACCUAAAAACAUGAUUUAAGAUCAAAAACUAAAAUCAAAAGCAUGGAAACAACUUGAAAAUUUACAAAAUUUACAAAAAUUUUGGACUGUGGUUAAACCACGUCCAGCAAACUCAUUUCACUUAGACUUUUUAAGGUUCAAGGAGGUUGAUUGCCUCCUUUUCUGAUUUGAAUGACUCCAUGAACGGCUUAAGACGAUAUCCAUUGACUCUAAAGCUGUCCUUGCCAUUGGAAUUCAAUAAGUCCACCACUCCAUUGGAAUAUACUCGGUGAAUAACAAAUGGACCAAUCCACCUUGACUUGAGCUUCCCAGGAAAGAUAUGGAGUCUUGUGUCAUACAUCAAAACUUUUUGCCCUUCCUGAUUCAGUUUGCCCGGAUCCCAUUUGAAGCUUGCAUCCUUCACUUGAGACUUGGUUUGAGAUGAAGAUAUUACGACAGGACAUUGAUUAUUUUCUUCAAGAUAUGUAUAUUUCAACUCCACAGGUAAAGGCUUCAGAUUGAAUUUUGGAAUUUCUUUUUCAGUGGCUGCCUCCUCUUCUUCAUUGAACAAAGGUAGAAUUUCUUCUAUCUUUCUCCAACUUUGUAGAGUAGCAAGCCCAAUAGGCGAUUCAGAAAAACCUUCCUCAAUAUUCUCAAGAUUUUCAUUCAACUUAUCUUGCAUAUGUUGAUUACAGUGCUCCUCCACCAAAGUAUCAAUAAUACAUAGCUCUUCUGGACCUUCUUCUUCUUCCGGAGUGAUUUGCUUUUUAGACAUAUAGAAAAUAUUUAGAUCCAGUGUCAUAUUACCAAAAGUGAGUUGCAUAAGCCCAUUUCUACAGUUGAUGAUUGCAUUUGAAGUUGCAAGAAAUGGCCUUCCAAGGAUGAUAGGAACUAAAUUAGCUUCCUUUACAGUAGGAUCUGUAUCAAGAACAAUAAAAUCUACAGGAUAGUAGAAAUUAUCCACUUGAACCAAUACAUCCUCAAUUACCCCUCUUGGAAUUUUCACUGAUCUAUCUGCCAGAGAUAAAGUGAUUGCUGUGGGCUUCAACUCUCCAAGUCCCAAUUGCUUGUAGACAGAAUAUGGAAGCGAAUUCACACUUGCUCCCAAGUCUAACAAGGCUUUUUCCACUACCUUUUCUCCAAUCAUGACUGAAAUGGUAGGACUUCCAGGGUCUUUGUACUUCAAAGGAGACUUGCAUUGUAAGAUUGCACUUACUUGCUCAGUCAAGAAGGCUUUCUUGUUUACAGUCAACCCUCUUUUGAUAGUACACAAGUCCUUUAGGAAUUUUGCAUACGUUGGAACUUGUUUGAUCAUAUCCAGCAGUGGAAUAUUAACUUUCACUUGCCUCAAUACUUCUAGGAUUUCAGCUGCAUUUCUAACCCCCUUUUUCCCCUGUAAUGCUUGAGGAAAAGGUGGAAAAGUUGAUUUCUUCAGCAUUUCUUCCUUCAGAAGCUCCUUCUCUGGAAUUGCUUUCAUUGUUGCAUCAGAGUCCUUCUUUUCUUCACUGAUCUCACUGCCUUUAUCUUCCAUUUCCUUCCCUUUCUUCAUCUCUUCUUCUUUCUCAACAUGUGGCUUAGGUGCUGGCUGCUCAAUUUUUUUACCACUCCUUAGAGUGAUCAAAGCCUUCACAUCUUUCACCUGUGAUGAUUCUCCCUCAAGGCUUUCCACUUCAUGGACACCUUUGGGAUUUUGGUUAGGUUGAGAAGGAAAUCUUCCCUUUUCUUGCAGUGUAUUCAAAUUUGUAAGCCUGGAGAUUGAAUAUUGGAUGUUAUCAAAUUUUUGAUUCAUAUCAUUUUGCAUUCCAUCCAUUCUUUUGUUCAACAUACUCUCCAUUCUGUCCAUUCUUUGAUCCACUCUGUCCAUUCUUUGAUCCACUCGAGCAUUGGUGGCUUCUUGCUUUCCCACAAAAUCUCCCACUACCUUGCUGAGAUUAGCUAUUAUUUGUUCAAUACUUGAAGAUUGCUGAGAUGGUGGAUCCGGCUGUUGGUAUUGAGUUGCUCUGGCCUUCCAUGAGAAAUUUGGAUGAUUCCUCCAACUUGAAUUGUAGGUAUUUCCAUAAGGAGCAUUGUUAUUGGGCCUGAAUUGUCCAACAACAUUUGCUUGAUCUCUAUACAUUUCCCUUUCAGCUGAAAUUGCAGGGCACUCCUCCACCAAAUGUUCAAAUGAUUGACAAUUGGGACACAGCUUCACUUGCACUGGUGCUUCAGCAACAGCUUGCACUUCAUGCAUUCUUUUCAGCUCCAGCUCCUCCAAUCUUCUUGUCAUAGCUGCCAACUUUGCUUUCAUGUCAUCAUCUUCCCUCAAAUUAUACAUCCCAGCUUUUGCAUUGUAAGCAUUCAACUGAGACUUCAUCUUUCCCACUUCUCCUUUAGUUGGUUCAUCCCAUCCCCUUGAAACAUCAGCUACAUAGCUCAAGAAAUCCAUAGCUUCCUCUGGAUUUUUGCUCAUGAAAUCUCCUCCACACAUUGUCUCGAGGAGUUGCUUCAUUGAGGAUGACAUACCAUCAUAGAAAUAGCUCACCAAUAGCCAAGUAUCAAAGCCAUGGUGAGGACAAGCAUUUAUAGCUUCCAUGUAUCUUUCCCAACACUCAUAGAAUUUCUCAUUCUCUUUAGCUGAGAAGUUUGAAAUUUGCCUUUUCAAGCCAUUUGUUCUAUGAGUAGGAAAAAAUUUCUUGAGGAAUUCAGCUUGUAAAUCAGUCCAAGAGCGGAUACUCCUUGGCCUUAAAGAAUUAAGCCAAAUUUUGGCCUUAUCCUUUAAAGUAAAAGGAAAUAACUUAAGCCUCAUCAAAUCAAUUGAAGCUCCUCCCUCUUGGAAUGUAUUACAAACAUCUUCAAAUUCCUUGAUGUGUGCAUACGGAUUCUCACUUUCCAUCCCAUGGAAAGUUGGUAGAAGUGGAACAAGAUACGGUCUGAUCACUAGCUGCUCUGUAGGGGGCACUAUACAUGAUGGUGCACUCAUACGAGGUGGAUGCAUACGGUCCCUCAUUGAUCUGAAUUCAUUGAGAUUGUCUUGACGACCUUGGUGACUAUGCUGAUCUUCAGGUGCAGCCUCCAUGAUAUUCAAGAUUACUUCCAAUUCUCCUUUCUGAGGUGUAUCACACUUAACAAGCCUUCCUCCACUAUCUCGCAUCCACUUUGGCAUACACAACUAGUAUCUACCUAGAAAAAAAAUGAAAACAGAGGACAACAAGAAAAACAGGGCUACAACAACAAAAUUAAACUAGACUAAAAUUUAAAAAGAUAAACUUAGAUUGUAAAUAAACAAAGAAAGAAUGAAAAUUAGUAAAGUGAAAGAAACUUUACCAACUUGUGAUGAAAAUCACAAGUGCUCAAAAAUGGUAUCACAAUGAACUUGACACUCAUUCCCCGGCAACGGCGCCAUUUGACUCAUGCCCAAUUGGUGUCUCAGCUGAUUUGUGUUCAACUGGUGCUCCUUGAUUGAGGAAGUGAUCAACAAAAUUUAUACCUAUAACACCAUACACUAGGGUAGCAAAUACAAAGCUACUAUAGUAUAGUGGCUCUAAGGAUCGUUCACUGGAAAUGAUUUGCAAGCAAUCAAGGAUACCAAUUCCAAGUGAAUUGGUUUUGUUUCAUUUCACGGUUAGCUUAAGGAAUAAAACACAAACUUUGAUUUGUAAAGGUUGAGACUUAAACUAACUAACUUAACAGAAGUUUGGAAUAAUUUAGGAAGAAAAGCAUUCCUUGGACAUUUAGGUUCACUGGGGUGGUCCCUCAUGCAAAAGACAUAGCUCCGGUCAGAUGGUUCAUUUCCUCGCAUUAGAGAUUCAACUUAAAGUCAAUUCUCUAAUCGGUGAUGUACAGAGACUCCUUCAAUUAGAUUUCACUUUAAUUCUCUCACUGAUACAACUUGCAAUGGUUCAUGCCUCUCACGAGCACUUACCAUUCAAGGUGAUCUUUAACCUUGGAUUCCCCUUCACAAACUCGCAAGAGAUAAAUAAUGGAUGUCUCCUAGGAGUCCAAAAGCUUACCAAGUGUUGGUAAUUCCAGAAAAUCCUACCUUGAAGUCACCUACCAGAGGCUCGCAAGGGGUAAACUAGUGCAUUCCCACGGUUGGAAAUCACUUGCCUUACCAAGUGUUGGCCCAGGUGACUCCAAGAUAUUUUAAGUUAACUAAAAACAUUGAAAUCACUAAAGGAUUUCACUUCCUCUUCAUUAAAAACUAAAACCACAAAGCUUUGCAUUCUUGCACUUGGAACCUUCCCCGGCACCCUUAGCUCCAAGGAAUUGGAGGUUUAGUUACUCAUUCUCUGGGGAAAACUCCUCAGAGAAUUCAUAACUUAGAAAUAAAAUGAAAAUACAAAGUGAGAAGGUAAGGCAGUAGAAAGAAAAGACCUUUACUUGCUUCCCAAAAAUUUACAGAAGGAACUCUUCUCCGAGAACAGGCUCCCGAGAGGUAUUUAUAUCCAACUAAUAUAAAACUAAUUCUUACCAAGAUAUUUGGUCUUUUUACUAACUUAAAAACUAAGGAAUCAUGUAAUUGGUGGUUUACAAGGAGUAUUUUGGGAUUUAGACAACAAAAAUCUAAUGGAAAAUAUCUCCCAAUGUCGGUAGCAAGCUUCGGGAGGCUUCAGGAGCCAUUUCGCAGGUGAAAAAUGAGGCCUGCGAAAUUUCGCAGACACCCAAGAGGGCUGCGAAAUUAUCUUGCAAGACCGAGCUAUCUUCACUAGGCUGCAAAGUUGGCUUCCAUCUUGAAGUUUUCAGCUCCCUUCUCGCGGCAUGGUUCGUGCAUCGUUAGAAGGAGAAACACCUUACUGUACAAAAGUGUUGCGAAAUUCUCGCAACAAAAGGCUGAUUCCGCAACACUUUAGAGUGUCUGGCUUGUAAUGGCUGCAACUUCUUCGUUUCAACUCCAAAUUGCACACCGUUUGAAGCAUUGGAUUGUUGACUUCCUGAGCUUUGAAAUGGUAUAUAGCUUGCAUCAUUUGGACUUCAGAAAGUGCUCCAAAAGUGGCUGCUACGACUGUCAUCAAGAAUAUGCUCCAUGGCAGAUUCUCUUUGCUUUUUCUCCUUGCAAUCCGGAUUCACUCUUGGCAAUUGAAUUCUAAGCUUUGCCAAGAUUCCUCAUAGCUCUCCUCAUUCUUGACUUGCUUUGGUGAUCAAAAUACUAACAAAAACACCAAAACUUACACAAAGUGAUCAAAAUUGCUUUAAAGGAUCCUUAACAUGCCAAUUGAGUUAAAAGGCCUAAACUACUACUCAAAAGUGUUAAAAAGGAUUAAUUAAAGGCUAUCAAAUAGCACUUUUUGAGUAGUAAUCACCUAGAUAGCAAGCUAGUACUCCUCUAUGGGAAACAAAGUUAGCCUAAUAACAUAUUCAAAAUAAUCUCAUAUAUAUCACAAAAGAGGAAGCACAAUCAAUCAAAUAUCAAACAAACACUAUCGAAGAGAAUAUCAUGAAUGUCGGGGCCCCACCAAAGCCCUAAUUGCUUUUGCAUGAAUUUGUUCAGUGAAUUCCAUUGUUUGGAACCAUGAAAUUUAUUCAUGCUUAUUGGAAAUUGAGAAAAUCAAGAAAAUGGUUGAAAGUCAAGGAAAAUAGUGAAAGUGCAUACCAGAAAGAGAAUGGCAAUAAAUAGUUUGUUAGAAUUUGGAUUUUGUGCCUAGAAACUCCUAGGGAAUUUUAAAGAAAACUAGAGUUAUUUUUUACGAGAAAAGAUUUUGAAAUCCAGAUUAAAAUGUGUAAGAUCACAAAAAGAAGAAGAAGAAACAUUAGGAGGAGCAUGAUGUGUGGCAAGUGACCACUAUGUGAGUGAGGUCUGGAGGUGCACUUAAGACUAAAUUGCUGAAACAGAUUGCAUAGGGAGUAUUCUAUAGAUCGCUGGUUGUCUAAAAAGAAACUGAAUGUAUUCGUUUCAGAGCCCAUGUUCACUGGAUUUUAGGGUGCCACCUCAUCUGAAAAGGGGCUUCAAUUCAACUCUAGUUUCUCAGGAUCACAACCCGAAUUAUCAACAGAAGCUUCUGGUGGAGACGUAAGGCUCAAUUUCAGAUUAAGUUCCCUCUUCUAUAACUCAUUUUCUCUGAAUUUUCCUUUUAUAUCUGUGGUUUCUGAUCAUAUAAGUUGUCCGUCUAGUUCCUUGUUUGAGACUCUGUAGAACCUGGAAUAAUGUUUCUAAGUCCAGCUGAAGGAACCUGCACUCCUUUUCAUGGAACCUGAGGCAUGUGUUAAUUUGAAACUCUGUUACUUUGCCUUCCAUUGCUUUAAGUCUUUUAGCCAUCUCAGCCAUAAAUCUGGAGAUUCAUUGAUCUUUCUUUAAUAUUCAAGCCAAAUGUCAAUUUAGUCCACUUAAACCCUGAUUUGAAUAAUUUCGAACUCUCUUUUUGCGUUCUUGAUGUCUUUCAUUUCAACUACAACGGAAAACCACCCUUCAAAAAAGAAAUCUGGACCGAAUCCUAAACAUUUUAAUUCACAACUUCCUGAGCCUGACUGAGAGUCGACACAAUUGAAUCACCUUGGAUAAGAGUGCUUCUAAAAAACCUCCGGAAUAUAGACACAAGUGCAGCAUUCGCUAAUAAUGACCAUGGCAUGUUACAAAGGAAAGCUUCUUUCUCAUAAUCAUCAACGCAUAUUGACUCUUAAUGGGCCCCAUUGCCUGCAUCACAUCAAAGACUGGAUAGACAGGGAGAUUCACAAUUUCGAUAGCUAUCUUUGCAUUAUUUGGGCAGGACAAUCAUGUCAUGGAUAUAUAGCUUGAAAGUGACUCAUGUUUUGUUCUGUUUGCUGCCCAAGCAGCUAUGGAGUUGUUGUUUUGAUUUUGUGUCCUGUGCGUGGAUUUCAACCCUCUCGUGAGCUUUGUUGUGAGACAUUCCACGUCAUGCAUCUGUCUCUGUGAAAAUGCAGUGACACGCUGAAUAAUUUUGGCUGGAAGUACACGUAUUGUUAAGAUGUGAUAGCCCAUGAGAAAGCUGGGGAACCUUGAGAAUGCCUGUUGGAUAGGAACCUUUCAUAUUAUUCUUUCCUCUCCUCAUGCUCUACCUGGAAAUAACAGUGACUUCAUUUCUACUGCUUUGUUCAUACCCUCCGGACCAAUAUCUACUUCAUCUCUCACGAAAUCUGGUUCUGCUAAUGAAGUCCUACCCUCAGUCAGUUUUGCAAAGCGUAACUUAAUUUUACGUUUGUAAGGUCCCAGGUUAUCACUCUGGUCGAUGGAAUUCAUAGCCCGACAUAACCUUUCCUGAGAAGUUGGAGAAAUUGCUUUUAUGGUAUGAAAGAACCUUUCUGGACCAUGCUAAAGCUCUGAAUGUUGAUUGUUUUCCAUUACAACUGAUGUGACUUCCUCGUCACUAGUGUUAUAAGAAUGACUCCAUGAGAAGUUUCUUGCUGCAUCAGAACCAACAAGCAUUAGGAGUUGCUUCACCUCCGUUACUGGCUGAUCAUCACCUUCAGAGACCAAACAGCUGGUUGGACCAUGGCAUGGAUUGGAAUUCUGCAUACUGACAUCAGUUGCCACUAUCUGCAAACUCAAUUCACUCAAGACAACUGUGGAGAAAUGAAUUUCACUGCCAUCUCUUCCUAAAGUUUCUGUUUUCAUGCUACUGCCAUCACAACCCAAGCCAGAACUUGGUGCACUCCAAUGUCCAAUAUUUAUUCUGAUUCGGGUUCAGAGAGUGAUGAGAGAUCGAUUGGGUUUACUACACUUCUGAUCUGGAAAUAUGCAUCAUCAAUUUAUUUUAUAUUAACAUCUGAGUUCUGCUUCUGUCGUCAACCUGCUCACAAACAAUUUUCUUCAACUGAGUGCUCGUGCCUUUAUUGAUAUUUUCUUUGCAGCAGCCUGGAAAUAAUGGCAUAGAUGAUUUUGUACUUCAGGUGAUAAGAUGUCAUGAAGAAGUGUGUAAAGCUUUACAGCAGGUUCCAACACAGGUGCGGAAAGCCUAGUUGUUGGCCUGAAAGCAUCUAUAAUUCCAGAAGCAGAUGACUCGUCAAGUGGCUUAUAAUUUUCAAAAACUAGUGCAAGGAUCUGUUCAAUUUGAUCCUUGAUUUCUCCUAAGAUCCGGUUCUCUUGAUGACUCAAUGUACUCUUACUGUGGCAAUUUAUGGUGACGGGCAACAACAAAUCAUAUACUAAGGUCGGACAGUCAGCUGUAGGUGUAGCCACAUCUUUGACAUAAGAUAAAUACCUCAGCUUGGUGUAUACAUCAGAAACACCAUAACAUGAUGCAAACUCGGUUAGUAACCACUUCCAGGGCCCAUGGAUUAAUAAGUUUCUCUAUUGAAAAUGCUGAAUUUUCAUGGCAAAUUCAAGUAUACUCCAGAAACCGAGCUUGGCACUAAAAUCAUGUUUCAUUCGAGUCCUCGCUGCGAACCAACUGCUGAAUGGUUGGCCAUUCAUAUUUAUGUUAACAGGCAGCUUGGAUUUGCAUCAAAAUGGAGUUAAAUGAGAAAUGGACUGAUCAAAGAAGGAUGAUGUGGAUCAGGGGAGAGAGAUGUAUCAGUGACUGUCUAUCGCAAGCUUUUUGCAAGAAUAUUCUUCUGUAUUUUCCACCCUCUAUCCACAUUGUAUAUUCUAAUAUGGCUUCCCUGAAACCCUUCCCCUUCCUGGAUAAUUCCUUUCUUAACCUGCCAGCAUCUUAACCGUCAAAACAGGUGAGUCACGCUUUCCAGGAAUAAUCUGACUCAGACAUUUUCUGUUCCUCCUAUUUUUUUUUAGGAUGAUACAGGUUUAGAAUUCUGCUCAUUCAGUACUGUUCCUUCUGAGAGCUGAGGUAAUUUAUCAAUAAGCCUAGGAAUUUACAAAUUGUCUUUGGAAAUGCAAGAACUCAGAGCCAGUCUAACAUCUAGUCUUGCCCAUGUGCAAACUGCACUUAAUUUUCCUUCCAAAGCUUCAACAAGGAAUAGUUCUUUUAAGAAAAUAUUGUGCAACUUUAUGCAGCCAAAUGUCCUUGGUUGAAAGUAUGUGCGUUAAUCACUGGACAAGUUUGUAAGAAAGAACCACUGGGAUGAAAGAUGCAGGCAACCUUGAUAAGAGAAGAAGCAGAACAUCAGAUGCCAAGUGUUUGCAGUCAUGAUAUGCUGAUUUUGAAUCAGAUAUAGAGCUUGCGCUGUUGUCUCUCGAUCUCCGUACAAAGGAUCAGAGUGUGCGUGAGGCAAUUCUUUCUGACACAUGAAACAGUCCUCCAACCUUGCGGUUGUCUUUGGAAGAAUUACUUAUUGAUGAGCCCAUCCAUUAGAUAAGACUACAGGUCUUGUGCUGAAACUUGAUGCCAUAAGGUCUCUAUGGGAAAUUGCCAAAAGUCUCAGUAUCUAUCUUCAUUCGCGUAGAGAACCUGUUCUGUCCAUUCCUAGUCCCACGAGCAUGAGAAUUAUAAGAAAUCGUGUCAAAGAACUUAUCCUUAUUAUAAGCGAGUUUAGCAUCUGAUUUGGGUACUAGUCCAUAACCCUCUCUGUGACCCAAGCCUUGACCAAGUGCAUUGUCUUCGAUCCCUUUGCUUUGCCUUUCCAAGAUAACCCCGAACUUCAUCCCUUUUAAACCUUUCAUUCAUCGCCAUAAAAUUGAAUUCUUCAGUGAACUGCACAGUAGACUUCUGAGACUGUUAAGCAGAGGCUGGCAAUGGCAACAAUAGUGCUUAAAGUGCUGGAGUAGAUAUUGUGCUCAAAGUAUUAGGAGAUGUUGAUGUCGAAGCAACCUUAUCCAUCUGAUCAGGAUAUACUUUGUGUGAGGAAGAAAGUAUGGAUGACAUGGGCUGUGCUAAUUGAUCAGGAGUUAAUAAAGUUGGUGGUAGAGUUAGAAGGAGGCCAGAGGUGGAACCUCCAAUUGUGGAUGCAGAAUGAUGCAGGGGAUGGAUAUGAGGCACAAAUACCAGAUCAGAAACUAUUUUACCAGUAAUUGGUGGAGAAUCGGAGGAUUUCAUCUCAAAGCUUUCACACAAUUUUCCAGUUUUCAGGGACUUGAGAGAGGUAGUAUACUAAAUAACCAGAAAAUGGCAUAAGAAAUUGGACAGUCAUUUAUGAGAAUUCCAUCCAAAUUCAUCGUCCGAAUGUAAGCAAUUCUGUUGGGAUCGUCCCUAGCAAAACCAUGUCACAAGGAAUUGUCUUAUCUGCACAGAUCUUCACCACCCUACUAGACCCAUCAUCCAUCAUCUCUACUGAAGCAUUGAUCAAUACCAAAUCUUUAAAAAGAGAAAUAGGGAAUCCUGGCAAACCACUACCGGAUGAAGUUGGCUCUUUGGCAUCAUCAGCAUCUUUCAAUUCUGAACCUGUUUGCACUGGCUUUGAUUUAUGAUUUUCAGAAACAACCCCAUGCCUCUCUUUGUCCAAUGCUGAGGAUUAUAUUCAGUUAACUGUCCACAGAGAUCACUGCGCCCAUUAUUUUAGACUGAGAAAGCAUGGUGAAACCAUGUAGUUCUCUGCAUAAUUUUUUUUUCAUAUUUUGUCUACCUGAAACAGCAUGAUUUCUAUCUGUCCACUUGUAUGCGUUAUCAAUCCAUCACAUUUCUACCACACUGAGACCUGGUUUCUUCGUCAGCCUCCAGUCUUCGAGCUCUCUCCUUAACUUUACUUUUUCAUCCCUUCUCUUGCAUGAGGCAUAUAAAUUUGACCGCAACGUCCGAUACCCACAAUUAUCAGGUGCUAAUUUUAGUAGUUCUUCUCCAGCAAGCAAACCAAGUUCUAUGUUCAUGUUCAUCAUACAUGCACUCGGAAGGGCUCCCAAACAGCAUCACAAUCCCACAAAGCAUCACCAUCAGAAUUCUGAUGGAGCCCUGAUUGGAGCCAAAAUAUGUGCUCUAAUGGCACAUAUUCGAUAUGAUUUGUGCAUCAAAGGACAUUCAAAUCACCCUCCUUGACCUAAAUCAAUGUUAAGGCCCUAACCAUGAGUUUAAUUUUUUAAUUUGGAGACUUAUUUCAGGUUCAAGGAAAGAAAAUAGUGCAAGUUGAAUCACUUUAGAUUUUGAAAGAUCAAGAAAUGGCUAAAUGAGGAAAUAAGUCAAGACUCAUGGACCAUAAGGAAAGAAAAGAUAAGGAUAUCAUGAGUUUGGAAGAUGAGAAAUAACCAUUAUGGAGUAAGAAAGAAGGCAAUAAAACAUGGGAAAUGAGGUAUGAAGCAAGAUUUAGCUGCAUGGAAAUUUAGAACUCAAAAAUCUGAUGGCAUUAUAUACUCUGAUUUUGAGGAUAAAUUUAGAGCAUUUUCUAGAGUCCAUUAUAUACAUACUAUAUAUCAUUUCGAAGCUCGGGAAUUCAGGAGUCCAACACUUUAAAUAGUGUGCAAAUCGGAGCUAAAAUGAAGAAGUUAUAGUCAUUUGUAGACAAUUGUACCAAGCUGGAGGGUCAUUUCGAAAUGAUUUCAAAAUUCAACUUAUAAAUUCGAAAUCCACUUCAAAAUGACACCAAUUUCGAAUUCACCCACUGCCACUUUGAUGUUUCGCCUCUUCUACCUCGGGAAUUGCAUCUAUUCAAUUUAUGAAUUCGAAAUCCACUUCGAAAUGGCACCAAUUUCGAAUUCACCCACUGCCACUUUGAUGUUUCGCCUCCUCUACCUCGGGAAUUGCAUCUAGGGCACUCCAUCUGCCCUAAGUGGACCCCACAUGACUAGAAGUCACCAUAUUAUUAUUAUUUUUAGGAAACUAUUUUGUAAUAAGUGGCCAAUGAGAGUGUACCACAUGUUAGGUAAUUGAUGAUAUUAUAUAAACUCUUUUAAUUCUAGGUAUUAAAGAUCUUAGAUUUUUAUUUUUUUCUAGAGAGUUUGACAUUGAAGGUGGAAGAAGACGAGAACUUUGGUUUGUUUUCUUUUUCUUCUUUAUUAAAUAUAUUGUUUUUAGUUUCUUUUUAUUCAAAUUAUGGAUUUUUACCCUAUUAUGGAUUGUGAAUGUGACAUCACCCCCAUAAGAGGCUAAGAGCCAACUUGGGGCUUGAAGCAUGAAAACCUAAGGGCUAGGAAACUUAUAGAGACAAUGGGUAAAUUAUUAUAACAAUGAGAUUAAUUAUUGGUUGGGUGACAAUUUAUCAAUUUUUUUUAUCCUAUCCUUGUGAGUUAGUUUAGGGAAUGAUACAGUAGGUUAUUACCCGAUAUUAGUGAUUCUUGGUAAUUCUUGAUCAUUAGUUAUCCUCGUCUUCCCUAUCAUUAUUUGCCCCAAAACAAAGCUAUAAGGAGUAUGAAGGGUUAAAAAGCAAAAUCUUAAACUAGUAAUCAAUCUCAUUCAUUUAAUGGUUUUAGGAAUCUAUUUUAAAAAGGAAAAAUUAGGUCUCGGAUGCAAUUUUGAGUUAUAGAACUCAACUUGAUCGUGAGCGGCCAAAGAUCCCAAAACCCUAAGAUCAUAUCAUUUAAAAGACCCUUGUUUUCUCUAAUUUCUAUACCUUAGGUUGGAUUGUGGAAAACUCCAAGCUUGAAUCAAUUGAAUUUAAAAUCAAUAUUCAUUUUGUUAUUAAUUUAAUUUCUUUUACUUAGUUUCACAUUAUUCACAUAUGGAUUUUCACUUUAGGAUUUAAACAAAAGUAAUUUAUUUAUUCUAGUAUUGACAAUUUCCAUAAGUCAGUCCUUGAGGAUGAUACCCGGAGUACUACAAAAGUCGUAGUGACUCUUUCUCUAGUUUUUCUUAACUAGAGUUGCUACGUGAAAAGGCUAAGUAUUAUGGUACAACAAAGAAGUUCAGUCAAGCCCAUUUUCUAUUAAUUGAUAUGCUUCUUCCAACCUUCCUGCUCAUGCAUACAUGUCAAUAAUACAAGUCCAUUGCUCAAAACCCAGCUGGAUUUUGUACUUUCUCAUCAUCAUAUCAAAGUACCAGCAACCUUCUUCAAUCAAGCCAGAAUGACUAUAAGUUGAGAGUAAAGAAGUAAAUGUGAUGGAAUUAAGCUUGUAGCCAUCUUUUUCCAUAUGAGACACAAGCUCACAUGCUUCUCUCCCUUGACUAUUCAUUCCACAUCUAGCAAUCAUUAUAUUCCAUGAGCUUUGGUCCCUCAAAUUACCCAUCUGCAUAAACAAGCUUCUUGCCUUUUCUAUAAAACCAGUUUUUUGCAUAUACAUCAAUUAGAGAAUUCAUGACCUAUGUUUUAGAGUCAAGUCCUAGAAACCAUGGGCAAUUUCAGCACCACAACUAGUCAAAAUAGUUGCAAAGGCCUGAAUGAAUGAGAUUAUUGUGACUAAAUCUCGUUUGUAUUGAUUUUCUAACCGCGACUGGAAAAAAACUCUCAUGACCAUGGCAGAGUCACCAAUUUUGGCAUGCCCAGAAAACAUUGUGUUCCAUGAAUCCAAAUUCCUGUCGAAUAAUUCCCCUUCAAAUAUGGUUUGAGCACACUCAAUCCUAUCAGACUUCGCAUGCAUAUUGACCAUAGCUAUUCCAAGACGGAGGUUGGAAAUUAAUCAUGUGCAAAUCAAGUGCCCAUGAAUACUUUUUCCUAGAUCAAGGUUCCCAAUUUUUCCACAAGCCAACAAUAAACCUAAAAAUGUAAUUCAGUUUGGAAAAAAAUCUCCAACACUUUUCAUGGAUGAGAAAAGGUUGAAUGCUUCAGCCCAAUUACCAUUCCAUGCAUAUGUUGUAAUCAAUGAAUUCCGAGACACUAUCUCUUUUUGGCAUGUCACACAAAACGCGUUUCCCAAAAUCUAUCUUUCCAAUCUUAAUAUACAUUGAAAUCAAGGAAUUCAAUUAGAAACUCAUGAACCAACGCUCCCUAUUUCAGGUUUCCCAAUUCACCACAAACCAUAAUUACAUGAAAUGCAGGAUCCAAAGAAGGUAACAAACCCACAUCUAGCAUCUGGAUAGUCUUGGCUGCAACCAUUCCUUUUUCGCUCUUGUGUGUUUUUCCACAAAGACCAUCCAAGAAUCCACUACUCCAGCAUCCUUUCUUAUGUAUAUAUAUCAGCCCCAAAAAACCCAAAACUGUUCCAAAAAGGAAAAUCCCUCAUUUCUUCUUUUUUUUGUCAUUUUCUUUCCUUUUUGCAAUCCUUUUUUUUUUUUUAUGUAUUUGUAUCAGUCUCCCAAAAACUCAAUCUGCUGAAGGAAAUCCACUUUUCUUUCUUCCAUUUCUCUUCCUUUUCAAAAUCAAAAUACCUCUCCCUUUCCUUUGGAGAAUUCUUUCCUCCCAUAUGUAUGCAUCCAAGUUGAUCUCUUUUCUUCAAAAAUAUUUUUGUUUGCCUUCUUUGAGUGUGCAUGCCUUUAUGAGAGUUGAUCUGUAGCCCUCAUUCUCUUGUCAAACAAUAAAAACGAAAAUAAAAAGAAUGAAACCAAAAAAGAGUUAGCAAUCUUGCAACAUAGAAUAAUGUAAAAUAAAAUAAAUAAAUAAAGUAAAACAAAAUAAUUAAAUAAAAUAAAAUAAAAUGGUCAAUCUAUGUGGGUCAUGCAAGUCAUGCGACUAUGUAAGUCAUGCAAGAAACGCUAAAAAAAGUCUAAUAGGACAAGUGUGCCUAAGAGGGCCUAAGUGAACCUAGACGGGCCUAAGGUGUCUAAUGGGUUGGGUAUACCUAUUUUAACCUAGGGUGAGACUAGGUGGGCCUAACUAAGUUUGACUUAAAGUGCACCUAAGUGAAGCCUAAUCUAAACUUGAAGGGCAGCCAAGGUCAUAAUGUGAAGCCGAAUAAACCCCUCAACCAAAGUCUCCAAAGUGGCUUAGAAAAUAUAAGUAGUAUGAAUAGCAAUGGGCUAUGAAAGAACUAUCGUGGAGCUCUGGAAAUGAACUUAAAGACAUGUGCUAAAGGGACAAAAUGGAGGGUCUACAACAAACCAAGUGCUCCUGUCAAGGUUGAAUGAACCCUUCUGGUUGUACCAUGUGGACCAAUUCCUCCAAAUCACCAUGAAGAAAAGUUGUCUUUACGUCCAUUUGCUCCAACUGCAUAUCAAAAUGUGCUACCAACCCAACACUAUCCUAAUGGAAGUGUGUUUGACCAUGGGGGAAAAAAUCUCAUCAUAGUCAACCCCUUUCCUCUAUGAGUAACUCUUUGCUACUAAACGAGCUUUGAAUUUUUCACCAUCUUUUUCUAAAACUAUUUCUUUCUUCUUGUACAUCCAUUUACAUCCUAUUGCUCUCUUCUCCUCUAGAAGCUCCACCAACUCCCAUGUCUAGUUCUUAUGCAAAGACUACAUCUUCUCCACCAUAGCACCCAUCCAUAUACUUCUCUCUUGGUUGUGUAUUGCCUCUUGGAAGGUAGUAGGAUCCCUGAUACUAGUAAUUAGUGCAUAAGAAACCAAAUCUUCAAAACCAUACCUAAUAAGUGGCCUGAUAGUGCGUCUGUUUUUUGUUUGUGGCUAUACUAUGAUGUUGUUAAUCUUCUAAACUAGACCUCCCUACACUCCAAGCAUUUUCUUCUAUUCCAUGGGUCUCUAGUUCCACUUGUAUCAAUUGCUCAUUUCUGAUGCAAUUUUCUAGCUCUUGUUUCUCUUCUUUUUUAGUACACUGUAACAUGGCUUUCUCAUCAAAAACCACAUCUCUACUGAUCACCACCUUGUUUGCCUUUGGAUCCCAAUACUUGAAGUCUUUCACUCUUUUCUAAUAGCCCAAAAAAAUACAUUGUCUAGACUUUGCAUCAAGCUUCGAUCUCUUCUCAUUAAGAAUGUGUACAUAGGUUGGGCACCCAAACACUCCCAAACCAAAGUAGUCUACUGCACUAUCUGUCUAUACCUCCUCUACUACUUUCCUAUCUAAUGUUGCCCUAAGUGACCUGUUGAUCAAGUCACAUGUCAUGUUCAAUGCUUCUGCCCAGAAUUUCUUUUCAAGCCUUGCAUUCAAUUUGAGACACCAAGCUCUUUCAGCUAUUGUUCUGUUCAUCAUUUCUGUUACACCAUUUUGUUGUGGUGUCUUGUGUAAUGUGAAGUGUCUCUUAAUCCCAUGUUACUCACACAAUUUCGUGAACUUUGAAUUUGUAUACUCGGUACCAUUGUCUGACCUGAGGCAUUUUAUCUUCCUCCCUGUUAGGUUUUCUACUUCAACUUUCCACAACUUAAACUUGGCAAACGUAUCUAACUUGUGUCGCAUGAAGUACACCCAAACCUUUCAUGAGUAAUCAUCAAUAAAACUCACAAAAUAUGUAUUUCCUCCCAAUAAUGCUACCCUUACUGGUCCCCAAACAUCUAUAUGGACAUAGUCAAGAAACUCAUCUGUCUUAUGUAUGAUUGUCUUAAACUGCACUUUAUUAUGUUUCCCAAAAACACAAUACUUGCAUAAAUCAAGUUUACAUGUUUUGACGUCCUUCAAUAGAUUUAUCUUAUGAAGCUCCAUCAUCUCACGCUCACCCAAUGACCUAAUUGCAUAUGCCACAAGACUAUACUGUAUGACUCAGACUCUGCGGUUGCAACUCCACCCACAACUGUGGUACCUAACAGUUUAUAAAUAUUUCCUACUUGCUUCUACCCCUUCAUCACUGUCAUAGCACCUUUACUCACCUUCAUUACUCCACUUGUAGACUUGUAACUAAACCCAUUACAGUCUAAGGUCCCCAAUGAAAUCAAAUUCUUCCUUAAAUCAGGUACAUGUCUAACAUCACACAAUGUUCUAACAAUACCAUCAAACAUUUUAAUUCUGAUAUUCCCUAUUCCAGCAACUUUACAUGAAGUAUCAUUACCCAUCAAAACAGAACCAAAAUUUACUAACAAGUAUGUGUUAAACCAAUCUUUAUUGGGUUUCAUAUGAUAAGAGCAUGCUGAAUCCAAAAUCUAAGAAUCUAUAAGAUGAUCUGAACUGGAUGAAACCGACAACAUAUCACCAUCACCACUCUCUGAGUCUUCUUCUACCACUACAUUCGUAAACUUUGAUGAACCCUCUUUAUUUUCUGUACCCCAUUUGUUUUUCUCUGGACAAUUUCGUUACAUGUGCCCCAUUUUUCUGCACUUAUAACAUUGUAUGUCUUUUCUCUUCCUGGAUUUAGAUUGAGAUUUGUUGUUACUUGAUUCACUCCGAAACUUCUUUCUCCCACGCUCCUGAUUUCUCCUUGCCACAAGCCCUUCACCCUAUGAACUCUCAUCAUUGGCUUUCUUUCUCUGAUUAAAACCUAAUAGAACACUUGUGAUCUUCUCCAAUUCGAGAGUUUCUUUUCCCCACAUCAGAGUUGUGACUAGAUUAUCAUACGUAGAAGAAGCAGGUAGGGAAUUCAGUAACAUCAAUGCUUUGUCUUCAUCUUCGAACUUCACAUCAACUCGCUUCAAAUCAUUGAUGACAUGGUUGAAUACAUUGAUAUGUUGGCUUAGAUCUGAGCCCUCUACCAUCUUAAGACCACACAGUUUCUGCUUAAGAUACAACUUGUUCGUCAACGAAUCAAACAUAUACCGACUUUCCAAUUUCAACCAAAUUGCAAACCGAUGAUUCCUCAUCCAUUACAUGGUACAUCACAACAUCAGCUAAACAAAGCUUGAUAGUUGUCACAGUCUUCACUUCUAAAUCCUUGCAAUCUAUGGCAUUCAUUCCUUCUGGUUGUUUUCAGCAUAAUGCCUUCAUAAUGCCUUGUUGCGCUAACAAAUCCCUAACCUUCCUCUGCCAUAGACCGCAAUUCCUAGAUCCAUCGAACUUGACUAUGUCGAACUUCGUAGAAGAAAUCCCAUACAUUGGAACCUAGUGCUCUGAUACCAAUUGUUGUGAUUCCUGCAGCAAUUCCUAAUGAAGAAAUUAGAGAAAACAAAAGAAAAACACACAGAUUUAAUGUGGUUCAGAAAAAUGCCUACGUCCACGGGAACUGGGUUGAAGAUUUUCACUACUCCAAAAUUAAGGUUACAAGAAAGGGUAUUUAUACUAACCGUCGUUCCACUCCAGCAUUUGCCCAUUUUUUUCUAUGUCUUUCACUCAAUAUGAGCCACAUAGUACAACAAGGUUCCCAACGUGAAACAUUUUCAGAAGCCUUUUUUGAUGGGAGCAAAGGAUUGUGUAGGCACCCUCUAAGUGUAAGUUGCCAAGAUGUUACACCAUCGAGAUUUGAUGGCAGCCACUCACAACCUACUUUUGAUGGCAGCCGCUCACCACCGACAUCUAAUAGCAGGCACUCAGGUUCCAAGAUGGAGAUUAAAUGGGAAUACAUAGCUCCUGAAAUUGGAUUCAUGACAAGGUUAGGAAUUGUGUAUUGGUCUCUAGUGUUGUGCAAGAGAUAGAGGAAAUGAUACUACAAACAUGUUGAUAGAAUUCUUUCAAGGAUUCUCCGUGGGCAAGACCAAGGAAGAGCAAGUGGUGGAAGAAGAGCUCACAGAAUUCGGAGGCAAAGAAUGUAGCAGUGGUGUAAAGGGAUUUAGUUACUUGUCAAGAGUCUUGUUUCCAUUAAUGCAAUCCUAUGUUACAUAGAAGAAAUAUUAAAAGGUUUUUAUUUAAUAAAGAAUUUAAAUUCUAAAACCACUCCACCGAAGCUUUUCUACAAAUAUUUUAGUCAUAAAAGUCUUUUUUCAACCAUUAUAUUAUAUUUGAUUCUAAUGAAGUAUUAUUACCAAAGAAAAAUAAAAUAUUAAGAAAAAUUAUUUUCUCAUUUUUAUUUGUUAUAUGAAUAAUGUAAAAAAGAAUCAAAUAUGACUUGAAUUAAUUAAAAACUUAUACAUUUUUAAAUUAUUUAAUCUUUAUAUUUAAGAGUUAAAAUAAGUGAAAUGAGUUUGCAAUAAUAUAUCAAAAUAAUUUAUAGACUUUAAAUUUAUUUUUUAUUUUCUUUCACAUUUUUUCUUUUUCUACUUUUCUUUUCUAUUUUCUUUUUCUUGCAUUUUUAUUGAAAAUUUUCAAGAACCAAACAUAGUCUUAAACAUUCAAAAAAUUAGCUAUUUUAAAAAUAUAAUAUUUCAAAUUAAAUUUCUUUUACAUAUUAAAUAAAAAAAAUUAUAUGUUCUACCUACAUGCAGAAAAGCUUUACAUUCAAAAUUAUAGUCUAUAUUAUGAGUGAUAAUUCAUAUUAGUAGGUCAUGUUCAUGUCAUGUCAAAGUUUAAGUAUUCUACUAUAUAGUUUAACCCAAAUCCAACAUAAAUAAUAACUCAUGUAAAAAAUGUAAACCCAAAUACUAAUUAAUUAUUGAACAUGUAAUAUGUCAUGUAACUCAUUUAAUCCAUUUAAUAAUCUAAUCCUCCUGAUUAAUAAUCAAGUUGAGUUAGAUUUGUAUAUAUCUAUAUUAUUAAUGUGUCAAUCAAAUAUAUUUAUAACUCAAUUGAUUUAUUUAUUUAAAAAUAAAUUUAAAAUAAGUAAAAUAUGAGUUAAAUAGUUUAAAGAUAUAAUUAGGUUAAUAGCGGGACUAUUAAAUUGGUCAAUUCAAAUCAAAUCCAUGUUAUUGAAUUAAAAAUUAUCUAUUUAUUAAAUAAGUUAUAUAAGUCGAUACGAAUUUGAUCUCAACUCAUUUAUAUUCAACCAAAACCUACAAAAAAUGUGUUGGAUUUAUAUCAUGUUGACGAAUCAUAUCAAACUUUGUCACCAUUAUCCAUAACCCUAUUAAACCUACACAAAAUAAAAUUUUAAUUUGAGAGGUUCAGAAAGUAAUUUUAGCUGAAAAGGAGACUUGGUUAAGAAUUAAGAUGAGUCGGUUGGGUGUGGGCUGUUAAAAAAGUCUGAGGCAGGCCUGGCCCAUAGUAGAGCUACUGAAUGUGGAUUAUUAAAAAUUCUGAGUCUGGCCUGGCCGAUAGUAGAGUUGGCUGAACAUGGGGUUGCUAAAAAUUCUGAGCCUGGUCUGGUCCAUAUAGGACUCCACUGAGACUGCUAGGCCCACAUUUAGCCAUGAGGGCCUGAGUUGGGUAAAACUUGGCUGGCUGGAUUCGGGUCAAAACAACAAAUAUGGGCCUGAUUUGUACAAACUAAGACCAAGUUAAAUUGCUAGGCCCAUAUCCACCCCAAUCAACACAGCUCAUCUUGAGCCUAAGGGCCUCUUUUGGAAAACCGUAUUCUAAGGUCUUAUUUGCACACUUUUUCUGUAUUUAAAAGAUAGAAACUUUUAUAUAUAAAAAGUAUUGACUUAUCUCAUAUUUUUAAAAUUCACUUUCAAAAAUUUUAAAGUUUAAGGUAAUCUAAAUUUUUUAAUACUCAAUUUUAUAAAAUAGUUUUAAAAACAAUUGCAUUUUUUCUAUUUUUAAAAAUAGAAAAUAGAAAAUAAAAAAUAAAAAAUAAAUCCAAACAAAUAUUAGCAAACAAAUAAUUUACCAUACUAAUUAGCAAGGUCUUACAAGUCCUUGUUCUGGAACUACACCUAAUUCAACUCUCUUUUCCUUCAACAUUUUCCUAGAAUGGAACUGAUUUUUGAGUCUUUGGUACUUCUCAUCAUACCCUUCUAAAUGACUUCAGAUUCUUGGCUAUUUCUGCCUCCUCCCCUCACAACAAUUUCUAAUCAAUUUUCUUGUUGGAAAAAAUUCCAUUUGGGUCUUAUCAGGAAAGAGGUUGGCAUCCAAUCUUCACACAACAAAUGGUAAGAUUAAAUGGAAGGAACAAAGGGGUGAAGAGAAACAUGAGUCAAGAGCCCAUGCGCUCCAGUUUCUAGAGAAAAGGGUGGGACCCAAUUUAGGCAGGGAUUUGAUUACCUUGUCUAGAAAACAAAGGGGUUGGACCCAUGAAAAGAAAUUGGAGGUUGGCAGGUUUUGAAUUUUGCUAUUUAUUGGUUGUUGGCAUGUAUACACCCAGUCAAGUUUUAUUAGAAGAUGGUAUUUUAUUUGGCGCCUGUUGUUAGUGUUUGAUUAUGGUAUUUGAACCACCAAUUUGGUGUGGGACAUCUAGUCCAAUUUAAUUACUGUUGAGAAUUGAAAGUAACAAAGUUGUUCAUCAAAUUUACCUUUUGACAAACUUUAUGGAAUUUCAAUUCCAAAGAAGACAAAUGUGUAGCAUUCAAGUGUGACAAUGUAAUUAUAUAAAUUAAUCCCAUGUGUUAGACCCCACAUUGAAAAUUUUAUAAUAGCUAAACAACUUUUUUGCACAACAUUUCUUAAUGAAAUUUACGUUUGUCAAAAAGCUUGAAUUAAAACAAAAAGAAUUUUGAAACUUUAAAACAUGCUAUUUAAUUAUUAUUCCAAUAAUUUUACCAUAUUUUGUAGACAAAAAAUAACUACAUUAAUAUGCAUUAAUAUAAAUCACGAUUUACUUUUAAGCCCUAUUGGAAUUAACUUCUAAAGGCCAAAAAUUUCUUUUAAAAUUUAAUGACAACUUCUUUAUUUGUUUACAAUUUUAUGGCAUUGUUUUAUAAAUUAAAAUUCAAAAAAAUGUUCCUUAGAAACUAUGAAACAAGGUUAGUUUGAUUAAGAAAAACACCCCAGAGUCGGAGUGAAUUAGGUAUUCAAAAUCUUUUCAAAAAUAAUUAAUUAAAAUCACAAAAAAAAAAACUUAAAUAAAAGUGCAAUAAAAUAAAGAGCAAAUAGAAGAAAAUUGUAAAUUAUUUUUAUAGUGGUUUAACAACUCACCUAUGUCUACUCUCCUAAAUCUCCUAACGGAGUGAUGAUUCCAUUACCAAGGCUUCAAUCCAAGUCUUCAAUGUUUACCAAUAAAUUCAUCGACUCCAAUGGAUUCUAUAAUCUCUUCAAGUUUUUCACCAACUUUAAGUCUAUAUCACUUAAGAAAGAAUAAGUAGAUGAAUUUUUUUAUAGUCUUAACCCUAGUACAAAUAUAGCUCAAUACACAAAGAACACUAUGAUGAACUAAAGGGUGCACUAAAGGAUUUGCAAAUUUGGAAUAAAUUCACUUAAAUGAAGAGCUUUGAAAGAAGGAAAGUAAGUGAAUAUGAAAUCAAUGCAAGUGCUCUCUUCUUCUUACAUGAAAGAAAGUUCUUCAAUUCAUAGAAAAUCACCUCAAGCAUCUAAAAUAGCAUGAAAGGCCUUGAUUGAUCGAGGACUGAUUGAGUUCUUAUUCAAUCGAUUGACCAGUUGUUGGUGUAUUUAAUGCAUAGCAAGUGAUCGAUUAGCCAAUUAUUGGUGCAUUAAUGCAUAACAAGUGAUCCUUGGCACUUUUAAUACUCAACCCAUCAUACAUCAACUACUAAAAAAAAAAAAAAUUACAAGCUCAACUAGUUCUCAACUAGGAAAGCCCAUAGAUUGAGUCAAUUUCCUAACCAAUUCAAUCGGUUCUAGGAACCCUUAGCUAGUUGCACCAAAAAGUAGCCAAAAUGGUUCUAAUUUUCGCUUUAAGCCUCCAAUGACUUGUGUAUCCCUUCUUAAAGCCUUUAUAAGUUAUUUUUGAAAGAAUUAAACCUUAGGUUUUGAAAUAAAAAUCAUGCUCAUCCACUUCAAAAAUAAAUGGUGACUUUUAAGCUUAGGCGAGGAUGAAUAAAAAAUAGUUUAGAAGUGCAUAAAAUUUUUUGAACCUAAGUGCACCAAUGAAACUCAUCUUAUCGAGAAACCUAGACAACUUGAGUCUUCAAGUGAUCCAUUUCUUCAUGACUUUUGGAUUUUGCACAAUGGUACUUGAGCUUCCGUUACAAAUCAUCAUUGAAACCUAAAAACUUCACUUGAUUUGAACUUGUUAGUAUAUUUAACCUUGUUUUGUAACCAUUAAAAUAUAAUUAGGAGAAUCUUUGUGCUAACAAUCUCCCCAUUUUUUAUAAUGACAAAACUAGGUUAUCUAGGAAUGAGAAAAAGAAGAUUUCCCCCUCAAACUAUUCAUAAACGAAAUCAAGUAAAGCUCAAAGAAUUUGGAUAGAUCUCACAACUAGUUAAACAAUACCAUUUACCAAAACCUCAAUAAGGAACAAGUACAUUAGCACUUGUGAAUAGAUCAUGAUAUCCAUACAAUAUUAAUUAUCAUCAUCAAGAUAUCAAACUAUAGUUAGGAUAAAUGGAAAAUCAAAAUAUUCAACAUGAGUAAUAAGCACAUAUCCAAGUAUCCAAAACAAGAUCAUGUCAUAAUAUCCAAAAGAUAUUAUCAAUGUUAGGAAGUGUCCUAAAUUCCUAAUUAGUAUAGAUUCCUUUUUGUAAAGAAUAUUAUAUAGAAUAUUUCUAGGUUGAUAUAUUAUUGUAAUAUUAGACUUCCUUAUAGAAUAAGGAAGGUUGUUGGAAAUAUCUCUAUAAAUAUUCUAGGUCAUGAGGGGAAAAAGUUAUGAGAUGGAGAUGGACCUGUAGAGACUAUAUGAGGUGGAUAGAGAUGUGAAGAAGAACGGGAGGUACUCGGUGGAGCGAGAGGACUCGUAGUAAGGUAUGGAUACAACGAGUGGGGAUACAUGGGAUGUUUCGGGAACCCAAUAAUUGUAUCCGGUUUUGUCCUCUAUAAUAUUCUCUAUUGUAUAAUGGAAUCAUUAUCUCUCAUCCGUGGACAUAGGCAUGGUUGGCCGAACCACGUUAAAACCUCGUGUACCGUAUGUGUGAUUGUUUUAUCUUUGUGUUCUCGAACUAACAUUGUUGGCAUCAGAGCUUUUGUUAGCACUACAACUAGUAUCAGAGCUUGGGUUGAAGAUUUCUGGAAGAGUAAAAGAUCACAAAACAUAUAAGAUGAAAACAAAAAGAAUUUUCAUUGAAGGUGGAGUCGAUUGCUCUUUCAUGGCGAUAUGAUACAAAAAGGUUUGUGUCAUGGAGAGAUUGAAGAUUAACUUCAUGGAAUUUGGUAAAAGGUGGAGAUUGUUAGGAAGUGUCCCAAAUUCCUAAUUAGUAUAGAUUCAUUUUUGCAAAGAAUAUUAUAUAGAAUAUUUUUAGGUUGAUAUAUUAUUGUAAUUUUAGACUUCCUUAUAGAAUAAGGAAGAUUGUUGGAAAUAUCUCUAUAAAUAUUCUAGGUCAUGAGGGGAAUAAGUUAUGAGAUGGAGAUGGACCUAUAGAGACUAUACGAGGUGGAUAGAGAUGUGAGGAAGAACGGGAGGUACCCGAUAAAGCGAGAGGGCUCGUAGUAAGGUAUGGAUACAACGAGUGGGGAAACAUGGGAUGUUUCGGGAACCCAAUAGUUGUAUCCGGUUUUGUCCUCUAUAAUAUUCUCUAUUGUAUAGUGGAAUCAUUAUCUCUCAUCCGUGGAGGUAGGCAUGGUUGGCCGAACCACGUUAAAACCUCGUGUACCGUAUGUGUGAUUGUUUUAUCUUUGUGUUCUCGAACUAACAUUGUUGGCAUCAGAGCUUUCGUUGGCACUACAAUCAAAACUAGGACUACUCAUCCUAGUUCUAGUGGGACUCUUCAUGAUAGGUUGUGGCACCAACUACUCCUGCUAAGACUAUAAGUCAUACUCAGACUACAAAUACAAUUACAAUAUGAAUAAGACUCCUACGCAUACUAGGCUCAUAAUUCCGCUUUGAGUUCAACUCUUCAUGUUGCUACCAUAUGCAUCUAUAUAUAGCUCAUGUGUCUUCCAAGCUCUCUUUUGGUCUAGACAUCUAAGUCACAUCCAUGUCGAGGCUACAUGUCCUUGCACUCAUCAUGUUAUUUUUGUGUGUGCCCAUAGGAACAACUCUUAUACAUGCCAAGCCUUCUUCUCAUUUAAUUCAUAUCCACACCUAGACAACCAACUAUCCCUAUACUCAUGCCCUAUGUCGUUGUACUCAUGGGUUGCAUCUCAUCCUAGCUCCUUGCCCAUGGUUGUAUGCUUUAGAAAAGGUUAAUACCACCCCUUGCUCAUGUUUGAAGCCCACGCUUCUUCCUAUUGAUGCUAUGGCACCAUGCCACAUCCCAUUCUUUCUUGGUAUAGCAACAAGUCAUGGCAUUGUGCCUAUGACUCCUUAUUCAUGCACAAGGCAUUGCACCCCUUGUGUAUAGCAUCCUAUAUUGUGUCUUGAGUCGACUUCGUUGUUAUCUAUGCCACAUCCAAGCAACAAGCCAUGGCAUUGGGUCCAUGGCUCUUCAAGCCACCCCACACAAGGCAUUAAGCCCUUAUACUAUCAUCGGGAGGAGAGUUCACAUCACUCCCUAUGUCAUUAUUGCCACAAGUUGCACACCACCACAUGUCAUAGAGCCCAUGUGUGGGUGCCAACAAGGCUUGCCCCAUGUGCCUUACUCAUGUCAAAAGCCUUACACUAAGGCCUCUAGGUGUAGCCAUGCCCAAGCCACCAUGCCUCACCUUGAGUCACCUACUUGCCCCUCCCUACCCUCCUUAAAUAGUUUUAGGUCAUUUGAAAGUUUUUAGAGGAAACAUCACAUAUUCUUGAGGAGGAAAUACAAGACCUAUUAUGCGUAUGCCCCAUGCAUACACGUGAACUAUUGUGUGUGCGACUUAUUGUGUGCACGCCUCAUGCAUUAACUACUCACAUUCACCCAAGUGUUGUCACCUUUUUGCCUAUUUGAUGCCACAAACCCUUCAUUACGUUGUAGUUUCCCUAAGGGCUUCCCUCAUGGGUGUAAGGUGUUUACCCAUGAGACCUUUAUUGUCGUAUGGUCCAUGUCAAGGGGCUAAUAAUAAUCUUACUCCCAUAACCCAUAUUGGUGUUGUUUCAUUUUCUCCAUCUCUCACCCUUCGUAAUGGCCUUUAUGCGUCCAACUUAGCAUAAUGGAGCAAGUAGAUCGUCAUUUUAUGACCUAGGACCUUUAUUACUUUGUUUUUUUGCACUUUGAUUUAGUUGUUGUGUUGCUAACACAAUGGUUUCAAUGUUUGGUUGCCCUAUCCAACCACAUCCUAUUGCCUUUCUUCUUGUAAAAUGAGAGAAUAUGCUCAAUUCACAUUAGAAAAAGGGUUCAUAAGCAAAAUUUGUCCAUGUACAACAAAAUAUGAUUUAUUUAAACCCAUCAAUAAUUGAAUGAGAUGGUAUUACUAUUGAUAAUCUACCAAGGCCUUUUUUGCUAAGCACAUAUAUGUGGAAAAAAAUUGCAAAUUUGCAAGUUCAUCCCAUAAAGCUUUUAGUCGAGUAUAAUUGGUAACAAUAGAAAGUUGUUCUUGUCUUAGAGAGAUAAUAUCUCUCUCAAUUUGAAGGAAGCGAAGGGUAUUGAGUUGAGAAAAAUGCUCCUUUAGAUCAGACCAAAUUUUGACUCUUAUAUCUACAUAAAAAACAUUAUUGGCAAAAUCUUGAGAUAAAGAAUGGAGGAUCUAAGUUACCAUAUUGUUGUAAUGAUUCCACAUAUCAUAGGUUGAAUCCGUUGAAAAGGGUUUUGUGGUCAAUCCAUCAAUGAAGCCCACUUUGUUCUUUGAACUCAAGGCUAUAAGCAUAGCCCUACUCCUAGUUGAGUAGUUUUCACUCAAUGUUUUCAUAACUAAACUCAUUGAACCACAAAAAUUAACGAUUGUAGUUUGGUCGUCCAGUGUUUCAAGUGAUGGUUGAACUACAAUCGAACUAAUAAUUUUAUAAAUAUAUCAUUUACAUUAUUAAAAUUAAAAAUAAUUAUAAAUUUUUAGAUUAUAUAUAAAGUAAUUAAAAAUAAUAAUAUUCAUUUUUCAUUUUUGAUAUUAUCAAAUAAAUUAUGAAUAAAUAUAAAUUUAUUAUUAUUUUAAAUUUUAUGAAAUAAUAUAUAUAUAUAACAUUUAAAUAUGAAGAAUAUAUUAAAAUAGAAGAGAAUUAUUUUAUUUAUAUUUAUUUUACUUAUAAUAUAUUAUCUUACUCAUAUUUUUUAAAAUACUAUUUAUUGUAAAAAAAAUUAAAAUAAUUAUGAUAUUUUAUUUUGGGUUUGAAACAUUUUAAUAUAAUAAUUAUUAGCAACAAAGUGGUCCCCAUCCCAUCUCAUGAUCAAUUAUGGUUGGGCUUCCAUUGACCUUACCACAUCAAAAGCACACAAGUAUGAGGAAGCCUUUAAAUUAAAUGAGAAUGCUUUUGAAUUCUCCAUUGCAUGAUCAGUUAAACAACCAAGAUAGCCCAAAGUGGAGCCUAGUAGGAGCCUCAUAUUAUGGCUAGGCUUCCAUUGACCUUAAUAAUGUGAAGUGAGCUUCCACCUACUCUUUUGCCAAGGAAAGAAAAAGGUUUGGCCAACCUGAACUAGCAAACCAGUUCAUCGUCAAAAGGUUGAACAAUUAAUUUGUUCGAUUCAAGGUUGAUUCAAUAUGUACUUCGGCCCAAAGGUUGGACUAAACUAGAUUAAGCUCCGAUCAACGGUUUGACCAAUUAGACCGGCUAGUUUGGUCCAAUUUUUAAAAUAUUUUUUUCACCCAUUAAAGUGCUAGGACUAAUAUUCUAUUACAACAAGCGUGGCACAUUAAAAAUUUUAGUCUUCUUCUCAUAUAACAAGAAUACAUGUAAAGUAUUUUUAAAAUUGCCCCCGUUGCCAUGAUAUUAUAAUGAAAUCAAAAUAAAACAUUUAAAAAAGUUAAUGAGAAUAAAAUUAUAAUAAAUUUUAUAAUUUUCAUGAAUAUUUUGAAAUCAAUCAACAAAAAAAGAAAGAAAAGAAAUUGUAUAAUAAAACAAAUUAGGAUAAUAAUCUUGAGUUUACUCCAUAUAGUGAAAAAUAAGUUAUUUAGGGUCCGUUUGAAAACUGUUUUGAAAAACACUUUUCUAUUCUUCGAAUUAAAAAAAACACAGAAAACACGUUUGAUAACAAAAAACUGUUUUAUGUUUUAUAUUCUUAAGAAUAAAAAAAUACGAUAUUUUUAAAUAAUAUCUUUUAAUUGUUUUAUGAUGUUUUCACUUAUUUUUUAAGGACUAUUUUAAAAAAUAAUUAUACAAAUAUAUUGAAUGAUUAAAAAUAAAACACUACAUAUAAAAACACUAUGUUUUUAAAAUAUUAAAAAUAUUUUAGGUUUUCAAAUAGACUUUUAUUUUAUAAAAAUUUAAAAAUAAUUUUUAAAAACUAUUUUUAAAAAUUAAUUUUUAAAAUAAUUAUCAAACAUACCCUUAUAUUUUGACGAGAGACAAUUAUUUGAUCGUAGAUAUGUCUUAAAUAAGAUUUAAAAACUAUAAAGCAUUGUUAUAUUAGUAAAUGAUUAGCAUGGAAAAGUCAAGUAAAAUCCAAAAUCAUCUCCCCAUAUUCACAAAAUCCAAACCCCACUUCAAAGCUGAAUCCAAUCCCUCUUAACCAACUAGAAGACCAAGUGCAGCUAUACCUACUUCAUCUGUCCUCUAUCCCCAAUUUUCCUUCAACUUUGUCCCUAAAAUUCAACCUCUGGAAUUCUUUUUCUUUGAAUUGAACCGUUGGGAUUCUCCUGGCAGGACUUCCACUCUUCCAUGAUUUUGCCCUCCUCGUAAUAAUUCCCAACCAAGCUUCUUUCUUAAGGCAGAGAAUCCAUUGGGGUUUUCGAAUGGAGGAAGUCAAGCAUCUAAUCUUUAUACUAAGAACCUAAAAAAUUAAGAAUUUUGUUGAGUCUUGAAUCCGUGUGUUGAAAAGGGGAUGAUUCACAUUGUAGCACCCCAGUAUCUUUCAGAUCCCAUUAUUUUAUAUAUUAGUUAAUUUUUAUAUUUUAUAUUUAAUGGAUUUAAAAAAUAUUUUAAAUCUUUUUAAUACUUAAAAAAUAAUAAUUUUUAAGAAUUAGAAAAUUUUAAAUAUUUUUCAUAAUCAAUAUUAAAUAAACUUUUAAUCUCAUUAUUGAUAUAUAUAUAUUUUAUUUUUUUAUACUUAUUUUAUUUAUUUAUAUUAUUAUUUAAUAAUUUAAAUUUCUAAUAAACGAAAAAGCGUGAAAUGCGUAAGGAGAGUCCUGAGUGAGGACAGAGGAGCCAUGGGUUCAAAACUCGGGAAAGAAGGGUGGGACCACUUUAAGUGAUAUUUCAUUAUUUUGAUGAACUUUUCAAGAUAUCAAAGGAGGUGGGCCCAUGAAAAGAACCAGUCGAUGGCACGUCUUCAGUCUUGCUGGCUGAUGAUUUCUUUUAUAGUGGAGUUUUGUGCACAUAUAUUCAAAGUUUUGCCUCGAGACUACUUUAUGCGUCCAUUAUGGCAUUUGAACUACCAAUUUGGUGUGGGCCAUGUGGUUGGACAAUCCACCAUACUCUUAAAAUGAUAAUAAGGGUAUAUUGUUUUAAAUAUAUAAUUUAAGGAGAGGAUUUUCCAAUAUUUUAACAAAUAUGAUAAAUAUGGUCAGCUUAAAAAAAUAAUAAUAAGAAUAUAAAUGAGAUAAUCACGUAAAAAAAAAUCCAAUUAUUGCAUCUUUUUAUUAACUUCUCAAACUAUAUAUUAAAAUAUAAGUAUUAAUGUUACAUACCAAACUUUGUUAUAUAAAUUCAAAAAGAGGAUAAAAAUUCCAGACUGGGGCAUGGCACGUGGAAAGGGUAAAAGGACGGACCAUUUUGGUACUAAUUCUUCAAUGAACUUUUUGACAAAUCCUAUUUGGAGGUUUUUUUAUUUAUUUUUAUUUUUUGAAAUAAAAACUGAAAUAUUAAAGCACUGGACCAAUUCAGACCCAUGGCUGAAUCACCCACGAAUUUAAUGAUUCUGACAAGACAAUCAAAACCCAUGGCUGAAUCUCGAAGUCCUGGUAUGACAUUGCUGAUAAUUCAAUAAAAAAAUAAUAAAAAUAAAAAUGUUUAAGAUUCUUUUGAAUCUUAGUUCACACUUUGAGGAUUGACAUUCAGAUUGAUGGAAAAGGUUGCACCACCGCCACGUUCCACUCAUGUUAUCAUGAAUAUGAUCAUGCUUUAUGUUGUGGUGGGGAGACGCCCAAUAGAGCAAACCUCUUUUUCUUCUUCCAUUUAUCUUCCCCCUUUUUUCUUUUUUCUUUUUUCUUUAUUUAUUUAUUUAUUUAUUUAUCCUCAACGUGUCAAGAGUGUCGUUGAAAAAGUACAAGAUUAUUGUAAGUUUAAAAUAACGUUAUUUAAUUAUAGUAAAUUUAACCGUUGAGGUAACUCGUGAUAGCCGUACAAAAUAGUCAAAUCGAGUCAUAUAAUGAACUUCAUCUAAUAUAGGGCUUGUAGCUUAGGCGGGUGGUUUAGAUUGGUGCUUAACCCAAGGUCAAUUAGAAUUAAAAUAUAAUUAAUCCAACUUCAAUUCAACCCCAAUUAUAAUCGAGAUACUUAAUUUAAGAUUAAUUCAAUCUUAUUUUUUUUAAACUUGAAUUGAGUUUAACAGGUUAUGUAUUUGAAAAUUUAUCUAUAAUAUUUUUAAAAACUUUUUAAUGUAUUUAUAUGUAAAUUUAAAUAAUAUAUAAAAUAAAAUUUCAAGAUAACAAUAAAAUAAUAAACAUAAAUUUAUAUAUAUUUCUAAAAAAGUAAUAUAUAUAUAUAUGAUGUCGUAUAUAAUUUGAUAUUUUUUUCUUAAAAAUAGAAAAAGAAAAUACAUAUUAUGGAUAAUAUACAUUAUCAAUAUUAUAAAAACGUUAAAUUGGGUCGGGUUAAGUUGGAGUUAUUUGAACCUUAACCCAAACCUAACCAAAAUUGAGGUCAAAUUGAAAAAAAAUGUAACCCAAGCCUAACUCGAGUUUUAAAAAUAAUUGUUCAAAUUGCCCAAAUAUCGAAUUAGAUUUAGGUUAGGUUAGGUCAACCCAUUCAAGUUACACCCCUAAUUUAAUAUAACCAUUUACUAAUUCCAAACUGAAAAUUAAAUUCAUUAUGAAAUUUAUUUAUUACAUUAAUACUAUUGUUAAGUAGACUUUUUUUUUAAAUCUUUUUCUUUUUUAUUUUCCCCUCUUUCACGAUAUACAAACUUCAUGUCAUGCUAAUAGAAAGUUUUGAUUCAUUAUAAAAGUAUACUAUCGUGAUUAAUUUAUGAAAAUUAGAAUACAUUUGAUAGUGAUUUUAGAAAGUGUUUUUAGUCAUUUUUAUGUUUGAAAGAUAAAAAAUUUUAAUUGUUAAAAGAAGUAGAAAUACUUCCUAAAUCAUUGUUAAACGCAUUUUUUUAUGGUCGAGACUUUGAUAUUAAUGGUCAUACAAAUGGUACAAUUUUAUAAAAAUAUUGAUAUUGAUAUUGAUAAAAAAAAUUAUGAAAAUUGACAUUGAAAAUAAAAAUCUAAGAUUAAAUUUUGAGAAAUCUAUUUGAAAAUAGAUAUGCAUAAAUUAAACUAGUUUUUAAUAAGAUAUGCAAGACAAAAUUAGCGUUAUUGGUGAAUAUAAUAUAUGAUUUAAAAUUAAAUAUUAACAUAGAAAUAAAAAAAUUAUUUUAUUAAAUUUCAACAUUGGAAAACCAAUAUUAAUACAAGUAAGCACAAAAAUAUAGAGAUAAAAAUAAAUAAGAAUAAAAAAAUAAAUAAAAAAAGAAGCCAUUCACGCUAAGAUAAAAAAACUUCUACAGCAUUUCAAUUAUAUGGAUUAAAGAGAAUUAUUGUAUUAUUUUAUAAAUAAUAUUAUAAAGAACAAAAGCAAUAAGUAUAAUAGUAUAUUAAGGGUCUAUUUGCUAACUAUUUUUUAGAACGAUAUUUUAUUAUCCAAAAAUAAAAAUAGGAAAACGCUAACCAACCACUAUUUUUUGUUUUUUGUUCUUAAGAAUAUGAAAUAUGUUGUUUUUAGAGAACAUUUUUUAAUUACUUUAUAUUGUUUUCUAUGGGUUGUUUUAAAAAAUAAUUAUACAAACAUGUAAAAUGAUUAAAAAUAAAAUAUUAGACUUAAAAAUUAUUUUUAAAAUGUAUUUAAAAAUAUUAAAAAUAGGUUAAAAACAUUUUUGGUUUUCAAAUAAACUUUUAUUUUAUAAAAUAUCAAAAAACUAUUUUCAAAAACUAUUUUUAAAACUAUUUUCGACGGUUACCAAAUAUACCCUAAGCCUUCAAUUUCACAUAUAUUUUCUUACUCUCAUAUUUAGGAUUUAAACCAUGACUCCUCAUCUUAUUACUAAAUAUAUAUAUAUAUAUAUAUAUAUAUAUAUAUAUAAAACUUGAGACCAAUAAUUUUAACAAUGAAUCAAAUUUCAUUAAGUUAAUAUUUUAUCUUUUAUCUGAUACACAUCUUCAUAGUUUAUGUGACUUUUCCACAUAUUCUUUUAUCAUACGAAUGACCCAUUUGCUAUGCAACUAGAGUUUAAGUCCAAAAUAAUCAAUUGGUAGAAAAAAAAAAUGGUAAGGAUGGUACAUAUCUCAAAAUAUUUAUCAAACUAAUCUUUUGCAUCCAUGUAAGCAUCCAUAUGGAUUUUUUUUCAAGUGUGUAAAACCACCGUUGAUGACUGUGAUUUUAAAAUUUUUAGGAAUAUCCUUAAAACCACAGUUUAUAACUGUGGUUUUACAAUUUUCCUUAAAACCACAGUUAGUAACUAUAGUUUCAAAAUUAUUUUUAGUUCACCCUUGUUUUAGUGGUAUUGUAAUUUUAAUAUUAUUUUUAAAAAUUUUUUAUCAUAAUAACCAUAAAAUCACAGUUAGUAAUUGUGGUUUUGAAAAUAUCCUUAAAAACCACAGUCCUAAACUGUGGUUUUACAAUUUUCUUUAAAACCACAAUUACUAAUUGUGGUGUUUCACAAAUAUCUUUAAGGGGAACUCAUGUAACCAUACAUCAACUAAAAAAAAAAUGAGAUUUUAAAAUUUUAUUUUUUUAUUUUUAAUUUUAGUGUAAAUUAUGGAUGUACCAAAAAUUUUUAACUAUAUACCAAAUUCUUCAAAUUGAUAAAUGGUAGUUUUUUCAUUCUUUUUUUCAUUCGUUCAUGUACAAAGUAUAUAUAAAGGGUAAUCACCAUUCUAAGAAUGAAAAAGAAUGAUACAAGGAAAGAACAACUAAUAUCCUAAUAUCUCAACUUUCCUAAUAUCUAAACAUUCAUAAUAUCUCAACACUGAAUAAUAUAAGGAAAGAAUUAUAAAAGGAAAGUAUUCCUAAUAUCUCAACAAUACGAAAUUUCCUUAAAGUUCUUUUUGGAGUGGGAAAAAUUUCUUAUAAUUUUCCAUUGUCAGUUUAAAAUUAUCUUUUUUACAAAUUAUCCUUAAUAAAUUUUUUCCUUACGAUUGUUUUAAAAUUAUAUCUAUAUUAUCUUUAUUUUUUCAUAUUUUCUUUGAAAUUUUGAGAAAAUAAUUUCGCAUGUAUUCCCAUAAAAAUUUAUAUAUUUAUGGUAAAUAAAAUAUUUAUUUGUUUUAUGAAUUUUAUCACAUAUGAAUUAAAGAAAAUUAUUUUUUCAUAUUAUUUUUUAAUUUUAAAAUAACUAAAUAAAUUAUUUAUAUUAUUUUAAAAAUUUUUAUUUUCAUAUAAAAAUUAAUGUCAAUGGUUAUGAUUUUAGGUUAUUCCUUAAUAAUGGUGGUUUUAUGGUUAUUAUGAUUAAAAAUAAUAUUAAAAUCAUAAUAUCAUUAAAACAUGGAUGAAUUAAAAAUAAUUUUAAAACCAUAGUUACCAAUUAUGGUUCUAAGGAAAAUUGUAAAACUACAUUCACAGACUGUGAUUUUAAAGAUAUUUCUUAAACUUUUAAAACCACAGUCAUUAAUGGUGGUUUUACACACUUAAAAAAAAAAAAUUCAUGUGUAUGUUUACGUAAAUAUAAAAGAUUAAUUUGACAAAUAUUUUAAGAUGGAUACUAUUCUUACCAUUUUUUUCUACCACUGGAUUAUUUUGAACUUAAACUCAUGCAACUAUCUAGGAAGUUAUGGAAUGUACCCUAGAAAAAUUGUCUAAACCAAAUCCUUCGUACCACAUUACUUUAUUAUGUUUUAGGGUCUCCUCAUGCGCAACAAUCCCCUUGGUGCACACUAUUCCCUAAUAUGCCAUGGUCUCUCAUGCUCACAAUCCUCUUUAUGUGCCAUACAUUCAAACUAUUCUAUCACAUCACUACUUCUACCUUCUAAAAUCCAAUAAAUUUAUUCGAGAGACUACACUUAUUCCUAAGAAUAAGUUAUGUACUUCAUGUAUUAUAUUCGGGCGAGAGAAUGACUAAUUUUAUGAUUAAUUAUUAUUUUAUAUUUUUACAAUUUUUUCACGUAGUCUAAGAAUGUGUUGAAUAGUAAUUUUAAAAUAUAUUUAUAAAUUUUUUAAUACUUAAAAAUUUUCAUUUUUUUAAAAUAUUAUAAAUACUUUUUAAAAUUACUGUAAAAUGUCCUCUAAAUCUUUUGACUGAGUUAUAAUAUUCUAUCUUAAUAUAUGCUUCUUUCCUCUUUCAACUAUCAUCACCUUAACACCUAAGGCUUCAAUAUCAUUUGUUAUGCUAGCAAUUAUAUAGGCCAAAAAUACACUUAUUUUGCCCGUGGAAACUUUAAUUCCAUGAAAGCACAAGAAUAUUAAGAUACAAAUAAAUUAUCCAUAUAAAAGUAAACAAUGUUUUAAUAUUGUUUAAUCAAGCACGGUGACAUCCACAUACGAGAGAAAUUGAUUCUAUUAUACCUUUAAGAAAAUAUUACCAAAAAAAAAAAAUUAUUUGAAAUAUCUAGUGUUCUUCUGCUCCUCAUAUUUAGGGCUAUUUGAUUAAAAAUGCUGACAUAUUUUUAAAUUUAUAAAUCUAAUCCUUCACAUAUUUCAACCUAAUAAUAGAUCCAUUUUUUACCAAAAAAAAAGAAAGAAAAAAACUUUUUUAUGUUUUUUUUUUUGGUAGAAGUAACAUUUUAGGACUUGCCUGAAAAUAAUCCAAAUGUUGGGCAUUUAUGUAAAAACGGGUUAGUUUUCCAAUUCAAAUGUAGAAGGUUAUUUUUACAAAUUUGAGAUUACUCAAUCCCUUUUAAUAAAAUAAUUUUUUUAUUCAUACAUGGAAGAAGUCUUUCUUGUUCUUCUUUUUCACGUCUUUACCUACUCGAUGUUGACUACACUUUAAGGACAUUAAAUAUCCAUUCCUAACUCACAAGACGGGUUUUGCAUAUUAAAUAUUUAAAAUAACUUUACGAUUGAAAUAAAAUCAAAACCCAAUACAAAUUUUUCCUUUUUUCAAAGAAAUAAACUUAUGUGGAAACUUAUUUCAUAUUAAUCAAAAUUUCAUUAGAUUAAGAUUUGUUAUGAUUUUGGCUUUAAUUUUGAACUAAAAAAAAAUGCCAAACAACAUUAUAAUGCUUUUAAUGUAUGACAAACAAAAAUUAUACAUAAGUUCCAAUUCUACACUCUCUUUUCUAACAGGCAAGAAAACAACUCACCCCUACUUACAAUAAAAUUUUAACCAGUCACCAUUUGAUGUGAAAUGAGUAGAGCAAAUCAAUGAGUAAAAGGGAGCUUAACAAAAUGGAAACAGGGAGGCAUCUUUUGAAGCAGGCCGCAUUUAAAUACUAUGUCAAGAGUUAGGAGACAACCAAAUUUAAACAAAGUUGAGGUCUAUACUUAUUAAAAUAAUACGGCUCUUUUCUUUGUUCUAAUUAAAAAUAAAUAAAUAAAAGAAAAAACAAAUCAUUCCUUGACUUUGUCCCAAACGUGAUCCAACAAAAUUUUUUAUAUAUAAGAUUUUUUUUUUUUUUUUAAAAAAAAAAACAUUUUUCUUACUUUCUAUUUUUAUUUUUAUUUUUUGUGAAAGGCAACAUCCAAACAAAACCUAACGGGGCUAGGGAUGGCAACAGGGCGGGUUUUUUCGGGUACCCGCCCCGCCCCGCCCCUAAUGGGACGGGGUUGAAAUUUAAUAAACGGGUUUUUAACGGGUAUGAGAUUUUUUUUUUAAACCCGGGGCGGGUUCGGGUAUUGCCCCAUCCCGCCCCGUUUACAUAUAAAAUCAAUUUUAAAAUUUAAUUUAAUUUAAAAUUUAAAAUUAAUUUUAUUUUACUAUUUUUAAUAUAUAGAUAAUAAUAAAAAAAUUAAUAAAAUAAGUUAUAAAAAAUAUAAUAAUUUUAUUAUUUAUUUUAAUGUAAUUAAAAAUUUUAAAAACAAAUUUUUAAAAAAAUUUAAAAAAAAAAAAAAAAGGAGGCUAAACGGGGCGGGGAUGGGAAUUAUUUUUAAUAAACGGGACGGGGUUGGGAUGGGAGCGACCCGUCCCGAACCCGCCCCGUUGCCAUUCCUAAACGGGGCUGCUUUUAUUUCACGAUAUUGACCGGCGCAAUCUCAUGCAUGACACCUUGUAAUAGAGAAUGGUAUUGAGUGGCAUCUUUCUCCCAUCGCCUCUUCCUUUACAAAAAAUAUCUUCGUUUCAAUAAAUCCCAACGCCCAUUUUGUGAUAUUAAUUAAUACAAAUUUGUACAUUUUGUUGGAUGUGUCGUUUUUAGGAAUUGAGACCCAUCACGGGGCCCAAUCAAAUUGGUUGAAUUUUCAUUACACUAUAGUGGGAGUUUGGCAUCCGAAGGAGGCCUAAAGUCCACCAAGGCCGAAAAGAGAACGCGUCAAUACAAGGGACUUUUCUCAAUAGUACAGUAGUUUAAAAAAGUUAUGCUUAAAUUAUUGUAGUAGAAGAAGUUAUUACAAAUAUAUGGUAGUUUUUGCCACAUAGGAGAGAGGAGAGAGGAGAGAGGGUGAGAGAGGAGAGUGGAGAGAGGAGAGAGGGUGAGAGAGAGGAGAGAGGAGAUAGGAGAUAGGGUGAACGGAUAUUACAAAAGGGAACUCGUCUCUUGAAGAGACGAGUUCCAUGAAAAAAAAAAUAUAUAUUUUUUUAAAAAAAUUCCCAUUNNNNNNNNNNNNNNNNNNNNNNNNNNNNNNNNNNNNNNNNNNNNNNNNNNNNNNNNNNNNNNNNNNNNNNNNNNNNNNNNNNNNNNNNNNNNNNNNNNNNNNNNNNNNNNNNNNNNNNNNNNNNNNNNNNNNNNNNNNNNNNNNNNNNNNNNNNNNNNNNNNNNNNNNNNNNNNNNNNNNNNNNNNNNNNNNNNNNNNNNNNNNNNNNNNNNNNNNNNNNNNNNNNNNNNNNNNNNNNNNNNNNNNNNNNNNNNNNNNNNNNNNNNNNNNNNNNNNNNNNNNNNNNNNNNNNNNNNNNNUUAAAAAAAUCCCAAAUUAAAAAAAAAAAAAAAAAAAAAAAAAAAAAAAAAAAAAACCAAUUCCAAAGGGAACUCGUCUCUUCAGGAGACGAGUUCCCAUGUAAUUUUUUUUUUUUAAAUAUAUAUAUAAUAAUAAUAAUAAAAAAAAUAAAAAACAAUUCCUAAAGGGAACUCGUCUCUUCAAGAAACGAGUUCCCAUGUAAAAAAAUUAUAUUUUAAAAAAAAAAUUGUUUUUUUUUUUUUUUUUUUAAUUUGGGAUUUUUUUUAAAAAAAAAAAUAUUGUUUUUCCUAUGGGAAACUCGUCUCUUAAAAAAACGAGUUCCUUUAAGAAAAUUUUUUUUUAAAAAAAAAAAAUAUUUAAAAAAAAAAAAAAUUUUUUUCCNNNNNNNNNNNNNNNNNNNNNNNNNNNNNNNNNNNNNNNNNNNNNNNNNNNNNNNNNNNNNNNNNNNNNNNNNNNNNNNNNNNNNNNNNNNNNNNNNNNNUCCAUGAAAAAAGGCAAGAGAAAGAAAAGUUCCCAGGGAAUUUUAUUUAUUUUUAUUAAAUAUAUUUUUAAUUUAAAAAAAAUCCCAAAUUAAAUAAAAAAAAAUUUUCCUAAAGGGAAGUCGUCUCCGUGGUAAAAUUUUUAUUUUUUUUAAAUUUAUUUAUAAUUAAAAAAAAAUCGAAAAUGUAAAAUAAAAAAAAGUUUUUAAAGGGAAAAAAAUUAUUUAUAAAAAAAAAAUUUCAUUUAAAAAAUAUUUUAUUUAAUUUGGGAAAUUUUUUAAAAAAAAAAAAAAAAAUUUCCUAAAGGGAACUCGUCUCUUCAAGAGACGAGUUCCCUUUAGGAAAUUUUUUUUUAAACAAAAAAUAUAUUUAAAAAAAAUAAUAAUUUUUUUCCUAUGAAACUCGUCUAUUCAAGAGACGAGUUCCCUUUAGGAAAUUUUUUUUUUAAUAUGUAUAUUUUAAAAAAAAAUAUAUUUUUUUUUACAUGGGAACUCUUCAAGGUCUCUUGAAGAGACGAGUUCCCUUUAAGAAUUUUUUUUUUUUUUUUAAUUUGGGAUUUUUUUUAAAUAAAAAAUAUAUUUAAAAAAAAAAAUUUUUUUUCCCAAAGAGACGAGUUCCCUUUAGGAAAUUUUUUUUUUAUUUAAUUUGGGAUUUUUUUUAAAUAAAAAAUAUAUUUAAAAAAAAAAAAAAAUUUCCCUGGGAACUCGUCUUUCCCUUGUCUUUUUUCAAGAGACGAGUUCCCUUGAGUAAAUGGGAAUUUUUUAAAAAAAAUAUAUAUAUUUUUUUUCAUGGAACUCGUCUCUUCAAGAGACGAGUUCCCUUUUGUAAUAUCCGUUCACCCUAUCUCCUAUCUCCUCUCUCCUCUCUCACCCUCUCUCCUCUCUCCUCUCUCUUAUGUGGCAAAAACUACCAUAUAUUUGUAAUAACUUCUUCUACUACAAUAAUUUAAACAUAACUUUUUUAAACUACUGUACUAUUGAGAAAAGUCCUCAAUACAAGCAUACAAACCAUUCAAACAUUAUACACCACGCGGUAUACUUUGACGGCCUCCUCCGUCUUCCAUUCCCCCAUCCUCUGCUUCUCCUUUUUCAUCUUCUUCCAUUUUUUUUUUCAGUCCCCAUCUGGGGUGGAAUCCGAGAUAGAAUUGGAGGUGAGGUUGAUGGGAGUGCACCUCGGUGAAGCCACUGGGACUUUGAUCUUCUCUUCAUUUCUCUGUCUCAUGGGCGUCUCUCUCUGUUGCUUCCAAUGAGAAUUCUAGUCUUUUUGUGGCUCUUCUUCUUGCCCUUGUGCUCAGUCUUGUUUAGGAUCCAUAUCGCUUUGGUGUCCGGUGAAUGUCUUGGUGGUUCGAGGCUGUGUCUGGAGGAUGAGAAAUCGAUGUUGCUGCAGCUGAAGAACAGCCUCAAAUUCAAAUCUAAUGUGUCGAUGAAACUAGUGACGUGGAAUGAAAGUGUGGGUUGCUGUUCUUGGGAAGGUGUAACCUGGGACUCCAAUGGUCAUGUUGUCGGUCUUGAUCUGAGUAGCGAAUUGAUUUCUGGGGGAUUCAAUAGUUCCAGUAGUCUUUUUAGUCUACGGCAUCUCCAGCGCUUGAAUUUGGCCAACAACAGCUUCAAUUCUUCUCAAAUUCCAUCUGGAUUCGAUAAGCUUGGUAAUUUGACUUACCUGAAUUUGUCGGCAACUGGCUUCUAUGGGCAGAUUCCAAUUGAGAUUUCACGCUUGACGAGGUUGGUUACUAUUGAUUUCUCUAUCCUUUACUUCCCUGGAGUUCCAACACUGAAACUUGAGAACCCUAAUCUGAGAAUGCUGGUUCAGAACCUGGCUGAGCUUAGAGAACUCUAUCUUAAUGGUGUAAACAUAUCGGCACAAGGGAAGGAAUGGUGCCGGGCAUUAUCAUCUUCAGUGCCUAAUCUCCAAGUGCUGAGCUUGCCAAGCUGUUAUCUUUCUGGCCCUCUCGAUUCUUCUCUGCAGAAGCUUCGGUCUCUCUCAAGUAUUCGCCUGGACAGUAACAACUUCUCUGCUCCUGUUCCAGAAUUCCUAGCCAAUUUCUCGAAUUUGACUCAAUUGCGGCUCAGUUCUUGUGGAUUAUAUGGAACAUUUCCAGAAAAGAUCUUUCAGGUACCAACCCUUCAGAUUCUUGAUUUGUCAAACAACAAGUUGCUCCUGGGUUCUUUGCCGGAAUUCCCUCAGAAUGGAUCUCUAGAAACCUUGGUGCUCCCGGAUACAAAAUUUUCAGGGAAAGUACCAAACUCCAUAGGCAAUCUCAAGAGGUUGACUAGGAUAGAGCUUGCACGUUGCAAUUUCAGUGGGCCAAUCCCAAACUCCACGGCCAACCUUGCUCGAUUAGUUUACUUGGACUUGUCUGAAAACAAGUUUUCCGGUCCAAUCCCACCUUUUAGUUUGUCCAAGAACCUGACCCGAAUAAACCUUUCUCAUAAUCAUUUAACAGGUCCGAUUCCUUCCUCUCACUUGGAUGGCCUUGUGAAUCUAGUGACUCUUGACUUGAGUAAAAAUUCACUGAAUGGAAGUCUCCCCAUGCCCCUGUUUUCCCUCCCAUCACUGCAGAAGAUACAACUGAGCAACAACCAAUUUUCUGGUCCCUUGAGUAAAUUUUCGGUUGUGCCUUCUGUAUUGGACACUCUUGAUUUGAGUAGCAACAAUCUGGAAGGGCAAAUACCUGUAUCCAUCUUUGAUCUCCAGUGUCUUAGCAUCCUUGAUCUUUCUUCCAACAAAUUCAAUGGCACUGUUUUACUAAGCAGCUUUCAGAAACUUGGAAAUCUUACCACUCUUAGUCUGUCAUACAACAACUUGUCCAUCAAUUCAAGUGUUGGUAAUCCCACUUUGCCCCUGCUGUUGAAUCUUACCACAUUAAAAUUGGCUUCUUGCAAGCUCAGAACAUUACCUGAUCUUAGCACCCAGUCAAGAUUGACAUAUUUAGACCUUUCCGAUAACCAAAUUCCCGGGAGCAUACCUAAUUGGAUUCGGAAGAUUGGUAAUGGAUCUCUUUUGCAUUUGAAUCUCUCUCAUAAUUUACUGGAGGAUCUGCAGGAAACUUUCUCUAAUUUUACUCCUUCUCUGUCUAUCCUUGACCUACAUUCCAACCAGCUCCAUGGCCAAAUCCCCACUCCUCCCCAAUUUUGCAGCUAUGUGGAUUACUCAGACAACAGGUUCACCUCUUCCAUCCCAGAUGGUAUUGGUGUUUACAUUUCCUUCACUAUUUUCUUCUCUCUUUCGAAGAAUAACAUCACUGGAAGUAUUCCUAGAUCCAUCUGCAAUGCAACUUACCUGCAAGUUCUUGACUUCUCUAACAACAAUUUGAGUGGCAAAAUACCUUCAUGUUUAAUUGAGUAUGGGACUCUUGGGGUGCUGAAUCUACGGAGAAACAAUUUUAGUGGUGCUAUACCUGGGAAAUUUCC